CACAAUGUUGGAGUCUGCAUGGUCUCUCAGAUCCUUCAGCCACUGGCUCACGUUUUUAAAUGUUGUUGAUUUUGUCACAUCAUAAAGACAUAAACUAAAAGAGCUCCGAGUGCACCCCUAUAAUAGGCACUGUUUAUAACUCUGUAUCGCUCCUGGCCUGCAGUACGCAUAUCUGGGCUUUUAUUGUACUUCAACCUGAAAAUCACAGAUUUCUCUCUAAUCAUACAACAAAAUGCUCUUUUAGGAAAAAAUUUCCAAUUUUGAUUGACUCUGGAGUUGCUAGAAAAAAAAUUUCUUUGGACAGAUCUUACAGCAAUUCAAUCCUUGUUACAUGAUGAAGCAAAGUUUUCAAAUAUUAUGCACUAGAUUAUUAUUUUGUUUCUUGAAUUCAAAACUCACAAAACCCUAAGACCUCUUUAAAUUUCACACACUAGUAUGAGUUGACAAUAACUUUACACCACGAACACUUGUAGGAUUGUUAUAAGUAAUUAAGACACUGUGUUCUCUUUUUUGACUGUCUCUUGUACCCCAAACAACCACAGGAUAGUAACACAAUGGCUAAAAAUUGUAAAUGUUUCAGAACAUGAGUUGCACCCAUAACAACUCAGUAAAUAAUUUUUUCACCCUGAUUAAACACAUAUACUUGUUUUUUCAGGAAAAGUAUAAGAUAUGGUAACUUGAUAAACUCAAAAAUCAUGGGUGGGAUGUAACUCUGGGGCUUUAUCUCAUGUGGGAAACAGUCAAGAGAGAGAGGUCAACUAAAACGCAAAAUGUGAAAUGAAUACUCAGCUCUAGCUCAAAGUUGACAUACUUUUCUUUCACAUCCGCCACUCAGUCUCAUCACCCUAUGUCCAAACAGGCUAAAGCUGCAAUUACUGUCAACCCCAAGUAUCAGCUUUGAUUCACGAUUUCAAGACAUGAAAUCCCAAAUCUAACUUGCCAAAACUCAACAUCAGGCUUGAACAGAUUGGUUUCGACUUGCAUAACUAACUUCAACAUAUGGAGAACAGUCUUUCUCACAUAUCCAAGAAAACAUUGAAUGCCGAUCUAAUGAAUUAAUUGCAAUUCUGAUUCCACUCUAACAUGCAAAAAGUCAACAACUCGUUAGUUUCAACUUGCAUCACGAAGACAACAACAACAACAACAUACAGAGAACAGCCCUACUCACAUAUACAAGUAAACACCAAAUGCCGAUCUAAUUAUCCAAUUCAAUGACGGAAUCUGCCGUUGCAUGAUUUUCACUUGAUGAAUAAAUUACAUCUAAAAUAUAUAAUUUAAUCCAAACUUUCAACUUGAUAUAUAGCUAUCACAAUUUGGCGCUGCCACUUCCCUUAACGCAUAAAAUUAAUCAUUUAAAUCGUGGCCCAAAAUAUUCAGAUUUAAAUUAUAAAUCAUUCUUUUUCAAAUAGCUUAAAUAGCAUUCAAGUCUAAACUCCAAAAAAAAAAAGAGUCAUUUCAUGUGAAUUACAAUCUCAUAAUGAUAGAUCCAAUUAAAUCUCGUACAAACUAAAUCAAUAACCGAAUUAUAAAUUAAAAUCAUAAAUCAAUCAUCAUACUAAUAGUAAUUAUGCAUUAACAUUGAAAACAGAUAAAAAAAUUGAACCACUUCCAGUUCAAAUGAAUCUACAAAAAUCUAUCAUAGCUAAAUGAUGCAUGUGUAUAAACAACAACUUCGAUGGAUUAAUUUAAACCAGUCAUCUAAAUAUUCGAAAUAAUUCAAAAUCAUUGCUUUAAAACUUCAAUUACUAGCGAGCAAGGCUGGGAGACGAAGGAUUGACCAAGACUGAGAGUAAGAGAGGGAGGGAGAAAUUUUAAAUUUUUAUGAUGAUUUUUGAAUUUUAAGAAUAAUAUGAAUUUAGUCUGAUAAAAUAAAUUUCUUGCGGCUAAUGAAUUAUUUAUUUUGCUUCUUAAAAGUCUAAAAAUCUAAAUGGCGAUAAAUCUAUAUAUAUGUUGCGACUAUUUUAAAAUCCCUGCAAGUCAUCCACAAUAACCAACAGCUUAAAAAAUGGGUUAAUGAAGAUGAUAAUACAGAUAAGUUAGUAAACAGAGUUAAAAUAUUAUGUUCUGUUCGGUUAACAAGAAAGUAAAGGAAAAUGUUUAACGGGAGAGAAAUCUAGAAACUGAAGAAUGAGCUGGAAACUAACUAAUUGCAAAGCAUUCUACUUGCAGGAACCUUCUACAACAUGCAAAGCAUGAGCUGGAAACUAACUAAUUGCAACAAAUUCUUGGCGGGAAUUUAAAGUUGAUCUAAUUAUAACUCAAACCUUGUAUUGCUUAGUAAACAGAAUCAAUUAAGCUGAUACACUCUGUUUGACAGUAUCCAAAGGCUACAAGCUUAACAAUCAAAAUAAUCGGAUGAACUUUGUUGAGAUUAAUCGGAUACAGACAUGAAAUUGUUAAAUAAAAGUGAGAUUAAAACCAAACCUCUUCCUUUGUGUCGAAACCGAUCGAGAUCAAAAAAUUUCAAAUGAAAGUGAAAGCUUCUUCGAUCGAAUGAGAGUCAGAGAGUGAGAGCUGAAAUUCAUGAAAUUAGGGAACAAAUCCAUCAAAUUUGGUCAGAUUAAUUGAAAAUAAACCUGAAAAUUCAUGAUGAAUAGCGAAAUUUAAACCAAACGUCUUCGUCUUCAUUGGAACUGAGAUCACAGAAUUUCAAAUGAUUGCGAGAGAGAAAGCUGAUGUGUUUUUUCCUUUUUCUUUUUUCAAACACACCCCUCCCCCACGCGGGGCGCGCGGACGAAAGUGUGGGGCCCAGAGCUAAAGAAUUUUGCUGUUUUUUUUUUUUAACUUUUUCGAAUUUCAAGUACUACGAAAUUUUAAAAUAUUAUUUAUUCUUCACCAUUUUCUUCAGUUUUAGCUUUCUAUAUAUAAUUUUAUCCCAAACAAAAAAAGCUUUCGAUAUAUAAUUGGUUAAGUUAGUUAAUAUAGUCAAAUGUUUUUGACAUUAAUAAAUGUCAUGAAUCCUGUUCCAAUUUUAUUGGCAUAAUAAACAUUUCUUUGUUAAAGUGAUAUAAAAUGAAUAUUUUUAAUGUCAGAAUUUAACUCAACCUAUUUAACUGUCCUUAAAAAUUAUCAAAUAGUAAAUGUCAAUAUUUUCUUUUGGGGAUUGUCAAUUUCCUACUAUUAAAAUUCACUUACUUCCUACUAUUUUCAUAAUAGAUAAUAAUCCUAAUAGUAAAAUUUCACAAUAUUAUUCUUAUUUUCAAAUACACUUUUAUUAAUAUUUAUUAUAAAUUAAAUAAAUCAUAUAAAUAGAAAUUUACAUAAAAUAUUAAUUAUUAAAAAUAAAAAUAUAUAUUUUAUAUGAAUAAAAUAUUAAUAAUAACAUAUUUUUCAUAUACUUUUUGUUACUUCUUAUAUUUAUGAUAAGAAAAUGUUUAUAAAACAAUACAAGAAAAAAAUUUUAUUAAUUUUUUAUUCACAUCAAACUAUAUAUUUCAUAUAUUUCAUUCUUAAUUUUUUUAUUUUAAUUUCCAUCCAUUGGUAUCCUUGGAGCUAGUGUUCACGGCACAAUGCAGCCCUUACCCUAAACACAUACAAUAAAUAUGUGUUGUUUUUUUGUGGUCUAGAGAUUUUCUUGUGACCUAAGUAAUCUACUGCUUUCCCUUUGUAGCCGAUAUCAAUUCUCUAAUUUGUCAAGAAAAUACCAAACAAUACAUAUAUUUAUGUUUUAUAAUAACAAUAAAACAAACCAUUUAAGAAUCCGAUAUGAACGUAAAAAGUUUGGAAACAUAAGUGGAAUCUAUCAGCAAAAUGUCUUGGAUGAAAUUUUAAAAUAAAGAUUAAACUUCUUCAAUUACACUGCCGGUCGUUGCUGCUGUUCUGUCGAAGAGAAGUUGUAAUAAUGAUCUUGGAAUCAAUUCAAGAUCUUGCUGAAAAGUGGCCUCAAAAUUUUGUGGUAAAGCCAAUGACAAGCGGCCAUAAGCUUUCUACCAUAUUGGUACACCACCAAUAUGAUAGCAGUGCAACUCAAUGCAAUGUAGCAAAUGAUUUCAACAGCUGACUGUUUGAAAAAUGUGGAGACCAAUGACACUACUGAAAGAGAUCCAAAGAUAAUAGCGACAAGGCCCCAUAGCUGAGAAGAAUUUGCUUGAUAGCGUUGAGAUAUGUUAUCAGCAGCAAAUGCAAUGUAGUGGACGAUUAUGGCCACCAGAGAAACAUACAAGCUUACUUUAUGAGUUUCCAUCAAUGGCUUAGUUGUGCCUUGCACAGUCGCACCCAUAACAGCGAGCAAGGUUGGGAUGAGACAUUCAAAAAAAAAUAAAAUAUUAAUUAUUAAAAAUAAAAAUAUAUAUUUUAUAUGAAUAAAAUAUUAAUAAUAACAUAUUUUUCAUAUACUUUUUGUUACUUCUUAUAUUUAUGAUAAGAAAAUGUUUAUAAAACAAUACAAGAAAAAAAUUUUAUUAAUUUUUUAUUCACAUCAAACUAUAUAUUUCAUAUAUUUCAUUCUUAAUUUUUUUAUUUUAAUUUCCAUCCAUUGGUAUCCUUGGAGCUAGUGUUCACGGCACAAUGCAGCCCUUACCCUAAACACAUACAAUAAAUAUGUGUUGUUUUUUUGUGGUCUAGAGAUUUUCUUGUGACCUAAGUAAUCUACUGCUUUCCCUUUGUAGCCGAUAUCAAUUCUCUAAUUUGUCAAGAAAAUACCAAACAAUACAUAUAUUUAUGUUUUAUAAUAACAAUAAAACAAACCAUUUAAGAAUCCGAUAUGAACGUAAAAAGUUUGGAAACAUAAGUGGAAUCUAUCAGCAAAAUGUCUUGGAUGAAAUUUUAAAAUAAAGAUUAAACUUCUUCAAUUACACUGCCGGUCGUUGCUGCUGUUCUGUCGAAGAGAAGUUGUAAUAAUGAUCUUGGAAUCAAUUCAAGAUCUUGCUGAAAAGUGGCCUCAAAAUUUUGUGGUAAAGCCAAUGACAAGCGGCCAUAAGCUUUCUACCAUAUUGGUACACCACCAAUAUGAUAGCAGUGCAACUCAAUGCAAUGUAGCAAAUGAUUUCAACAGCUGACUGUUUGAAAAAUGUGGAGACCAAUGACACUACUGAAAGAGAUCCAAAGAUAAUAGCGACAAGGCCCCAUAGCUGAGAAGAAUUUGCUUGAUAGCGUUGAGAUAUGUUAUCAGCAGCAAAUGCAAUGUAGUGGACGAUUAUGGCCACCAGAGAAACAUACAAGCUUACUUUAUGAGUUUCCAUCAAUGGCUUAGUUGUGCCUUGCACAGUCGCACCCAUAACAGCGAGCAAGGUUGGGAUGAGACAUUCAAAAAAUUUUGGGUAUGGAAUUGAGGAAAUCAAACUGUCAUCACUGUAAAACCAUCAAAAUUUAUUUAUGAACAAGUAAUGUUAUAUUUUUAAACUUGUUGCACAUGUGCCUCAAAUUUUAUUUAUGAACAAGUAUGUAAUGUUAUAUUUUUAACUUGUUACACAUGUGUCUCAGGAGUAGCUUAGCUCGAAUGGCUGUGAAUACACUUAUCAAGUACGGUUAUGUAUAUUUUAACAAAAAUACUAGGCAAAAUUUGGUGAGAUACGCUCAAAAUUUUAGAAAUAAUUGUCACUGCUUACUACCUUAACAAAUAAAUAUAAACAAGAAACAAUGCUCCCAAAUUUUAACAAUCAAGAGGAAAGCUUCCUAUAUAAGAGAAAAAGACCAAGACCAAUACGCUUAGUGGGUUUCAAAAAGUAAUGAUCUUCUAAAGUUUAACUUUCUUUUAGCUGUUAUCAAUUAUUAAUGCAUGGACAAACCUCAUACAAUAGUCUAACAUGGAACCAUCAAGUUCUAGACUUUACUCACUAGAUCAACGAAUGCUCAUAACUAAGCUUAUAGUCAAGUAAGAAAUGCCAAAAAAUAUGACAAAGUUAAUUAACCUUCAUAUGAAUAAAAGAAAGAACUGUAUGCAGUGAAAAUUUAGCUCAUAAAAACAGAAAAUGUAAGAAAUGUGUACGUAUGUACCUUGAAGGAUCAAAGUGCUGUCGAUGAAGGUGAUGAUGGCAGGGGCAGCUUAUUUGCAUCAUAUUGAUUUCGGAACGCAACCCUUCUUCUUCGGACAAAACCGACCUGCUCAGGACUAUAAGCUUCUUCUGCCAAAAAACGAUGAGCUUCUUCUUAUGAAAAAAUUUUAUUUUAUUCAUGCAUAAUGCAAAAGAAAUGCUCAUAACUAAACCUAUAGUCAAGUAAGAAAAGACGAGCUUCUUCUCCUGCCAAAAAAGAUGAGUUUCUUCUCAUAACAAAAUUAUAUUUUAUUUAUGAUGAUUUAGUAUGACUUGUCAAUUAGUUAUGAAACUCGUCAACUUUGGCAAUCUCAUACACUAAAGUGGAAAAUGAGUAAUGUUACUUUGACAAAUCACACCCUUUCGAAGCAAAAGAAAAAGAAAAGACUACCUUCAGAAAAAAUAAUCAAUUUCUUGUAAAUGAGUUUACACAUUUUAAUUUGGCCUGAUCUUAUAGCAAUUCAAUCCAUUUAACAUGAUGAAGCACAGAGUGACAUCAGUAAUUUUGUUCCUUCAAUACAAAACUCAAAAAUUUUGUAACCUCUACCAUAUCUUUUCCAACACUAAUACCUCUUUAAAUUUCACAGUCAACAUGAUUAGCUGUGAAAUAUGACGUUGAUCUUGAUGUAGGAUUAUUGUAAGUAAUUGAAAUACGACGUUGAUCUUGACGUAGGCUUCUAGCGGACUCCCGCAGUCCCGCACUAACUUAAUGCAUGCGUAGCUUUUUAAUAUAAGGGUCCGGCUAUUUUUAAACCGCUUUAAGAUAGAACACCUCUUUAUAAUCGUAAGAUCAAAAUUAUAAUAAAUUUUUUAUUAUUUAUCACUUUAUAUAUAUGGUUGAGAUUCAUCCUCCACCAUAUAUAAACUAUAACAUGGCCAUAACCUUAAUAUAAAUUCACUCGAACAGGGUUAGAUCGUAUCAUUGCAUCCCAUGACUUGACCUCAACCAGAAGUACGAUUCAUCGAAAUUAACCAAAUUCAAAGCUUUAUUUUUAUCUUUUUAAUAUCAAGUAAAAAGUUAAUUUCAAUAAAUUCUGAUCGAAAUACUCACAAUAUUAAAAAAGAAUUAAAAAAAAAGCGUAUUAAUGAUUAAAUUAAGAAAGUAUAAAUUAUGAUUACGACUUUAUACAAAUCAGCCACCACAACCGUCGAUGGAAAUCACGACAAUCGACAAAGUGUAUUAAUGAAUCACCACCACGAUUUACUCUAUUAAAGCAGACAGAGUCUCUUUUCUAUAACCAUAGCCUUUGGGCUAUUACUUCAUCAUUUUAUUUUUACUCUCACUCCAUCCGUGUUCAAGAACUGUAGUUCCACUGUUUCAGCUGCCAAGCUGCAAAUUGUAAACAUUGAAACAUCCACAUUCAAGGAAAUCAUAUAUAACAAUUACGAAAAUCAAUAAUAAUGCGUUAAUGUAUCUGAAGAUUAUUUGUCUAAAUUGUAAACAUUAACGUGCCUGGAGAUCAUUUGCGUAAUUUUCAUCUACAUAUAAAUUAUGAAAAUCAAUAAUAAUGCGUUAAGAAAUUUAUGUCAAUAAGAAUGACGUAAUUAUAAUAGAGUGAUAUAAGAUAAAAAAAAAAAAUGUGUUUGUUUGUAAAUUGUAAUGAAAUUCAUUAGUCAAUCGAUUUAUAAAAAAUAAUUCAUGUAAUCUAACCUUUUAACAGUUAAUAGAAAAGUACUAUGAUUAACAGAUUUCUAUGUAUAGAGCAUUAAAUAAUGAGACUCAUAUGGGUUCAAUUGUGUUGAAUAGCUUUUUCUUCUUUCUAAAUUCUUAAUUGAAUAAUCAAGAACGGGAUGGCGACAAAAAGAAAGGAAAACAAAAAAGAAAUAAUCAGAUUCCCACGGGCUUCAGUUUUUUCACCAAUUGCACUGAUGAUGAUAUUUUCCAUUCAUUAACGAAGGAAGGUUCGUUCCCUUAUAUUAAAGUGAAGAGGGACGCUUUACGCGCAGAAUAUACUGCCGAAUUAUUUGGCCUUUCAAUAAUGGAGAUUGCUACUUUCCUUUAACCUUUUUGGAUUUCAUCAUAUAUCACUUAUAUUUUUUAAAAUAUCCAGUCAAGGUUCAUCCGAAAAACUCCUCCAACACGACAACAAAACAACCAUUUGUUUUAAAUUAAAUUUUGAAAAGAAAGGAAAAUCUAUAUUGUGUCCCACAUAAGAUUUGAAGAGAAUCACUAUUUUCUACGACUUAUUUUCAAGCCCAUAAGUAUAUCUUUUUUUUUUAAUUUAUUGAAACUUAUUUUCAAAACAAUAACACUUGAAGUGAAUAAAUCUAUUGACACUGAUUUUCAAACGCAUAUCUUUUUUUUUUUUUUUGCACUGAGCUGCAGAUCUUUUUGCAGUACUAAUUCAUGUCAGAUGUUAAUGUCACGUAAACAGUUAAUUUUAAUAAAUUCUGAUUGAAAAACUCACAAUAUUCAAAAAGAUUAAUGAAAAAGAGUGUAUUAAUGGUUAUGUUUAGAUAAUAUAAUCUUGAUUACUACUUUAAACAAAUCAGCCUCCACAAUCCUGGACGAAAAUCACUACUUUAAAAAGUGAAUCACCACGGCUUCUCUGUUGAAAGCAGAAAAAUCUCUUUUCUAUAACUUUAGCCUUUGGGCUAUUACUUCAUAUAUAACAAUCUCAAAGACACGAAACUUGCUUGAGGCAACUGCUUCCUUAAUUGAAAUUAAUUUUUCAAGGAGACCGUUGCAUACUCAAAUUUCUCAAGUUCAGGGACCCUUUUUAUUCUUAAAAAUUCUAAUGUUUGAUUAGGGGUGUUCGCGGAUCGGAUUUUACGGAUUGGACAUCAAUCCAUAUCCAAUCCACGAUUUUACGGAUUAUAAAUUUUCAAUCCAAUCCAAUUCACAGAUUGGUAAAAUUCAAUCCAAAUCCAAUCCAUACAUCUGCGGAUCGGAUGCGGAUUUAACCCAAUCCAUAUCCAAUCCACAAUUUUGCGGAUUGGUUUGCGGACUGAAAAUUUUUAAUUAUGUCCAAUCCACAAACUAACUAAAUAAAAAAAUUUAAUAUAAAAAUAAUUUUAUUACUGAUUAAAUUUAAAAUUAAAUAAGAUUUAAAUAAAUUAACUGUUUAAAUAAAACUAGAAAAUACAUUUAAAGUUUCAAAAUACAAUACACCAAAACGAAAAAAAAAAAUCUCAUUCGUUUAGAUCAGUACAUGGAAAUUAAUUAUUUAGGAAGCUAUAUUUGUUCAUUCAAUUUUUCAUUAUUUAUAGUAUCAUCGGAUAAGAUAUAAUAUAGUUAUAGUGUUACUGUAACUAUAUUUUAACUAAUUUAUUUACUAGUAAGGCUCUGUUUGGUACAGCUUUUCAAGUAGAGCUUUUAUAAAUAGAGUUUUUACUAAAAAAAAUUUAGUUGUUUAGUUGUCAAUAAGAGCUUUUAUUAAAAUUUUAUGAAAUUACUUUAAUAGAUAAAAUUUUUAAAGUUAUGUUAUGAAAAGAAUAAAAUAAAAUUACAAAUAAGUAGAGGAUUUUUAGAUAUUUUAAUAUUAAAAAAAAAGCUUUUCAACUUCUACUCCCAAAAGCCCAAAAUUUGAGCUUUUACUAGUAGAGUCAAAAUAACUUAUUUAAGUUUCAAAAGCUCUAUUAGAAAAACAACCAAACAAUAACAAAAAUUAUGAUAAGAGCUUAUGAGAUUAAAUAAGCACUUACAUCUAUUAAAUAAGCCAUACCAAACAGACAUUAAGUAAUAAUGUCAUAUUUACAAGUUUUUUUAAUUAAAUAAAUACUUUUUAUUUUUUGCGGAUUCGCGGAUUUUUACGGAUUUACAGAAGUAGAUCCAUCUCCAAUCCAAUGAUUGCGGAUCAUCAAAUUUUUAAUCCAAUCCAAUCCACCAAUUCACGGAUCAGAUUUUUACGGAUCGAAUUUCUACGGAUCAGACGGAUUGAGCGGAUUGGAUUUUGAACACCGUAUGUUUGAUCAAGACCUAAUGCAAUUAUUAAGUAGAUAAUGAUGAUGUUGAUGAUUGUGAUGAUGAAAGGAAUGAUCAAGAAUUAUGUUAAAAUUAAGCAAUAAAGGAAAAUUAAUUUUGAUAGUAAAUUUGGUAUUAAAUCAAUUUUGAUAGUCAAUUAUGGUAACGAAACCCUGGCUUUAUUUAGUGCGCAUCGAAUGUAAAGUGUGUGGAAACUUAAAAAUAUUCCAAAUAAGAAUCCACUAGCUUGACUUUCGAUUAACAAAUACUUGGCUAACCAACAAUGAAUCCACUCCAAUAAGCCUAAGGAUAACUUGAGCUACGUUGUGAAUAUCAUGAUUGUCUCGUCAUGCCGUCGAAGCUCCACCUGACUUUGACUUGCAAUCGUACAUAAUAAGUAACAAAGACAGAUCGUGACUCAAUAGAUAUGCUACCAUUAUUACAGUUUUUAUUUUUAUUUUUAUUUUGUUCGAUGUCACUAAUCACUAUUAUAAGAAAAGAUUUAUAUAUAUUCUAUUUAUAGGGGAAACAUAUGGUGCAACUGUGGUACCGUGCCACAGUUGCAUCCAGUCGUUGGAUGUCAGUGGACCCCAUCAAUCCAAGUGCAUCCAACAGUUGGAUACAAUUGUGACACGGUACCACAGUUACACCGUAGCCUGAUCCCCAUUUAUAAUAUAUAUAUUUUUUAACUUUUCAUACACAAGUUCACAAUUAUCUAAUUCAUUUAUAAUAUUAAUCUGAAAUGUGUGGCUGUAAAAAGUUUGCAAAAGACAAGAUGAAAUUGGGUGUGGUUUAUGUAAUUUUACACAGAUAAAAUUGUUAAUCUAGAGGAGUUUUAUUAGGAAAUGAGGCGGCUGCAAAAUAGCAUCACUCUUAAAAAUAUUCAAACAUAAAAUUUUUAAAAAAAUUAUUUGUCACUUAAAAAUAAAUUCAAAUAGUAAAAAAAAAUUGCCCUAAAAAAGUAUAAAUCAUUUUAAUAGCAUAAGGAUGAAUUUUGGCCCCCUCAUGAAUUGUUAUCUUCAAAUCAUCUCCCUUACUUUUGAAAGUCUUAAAAUUACUCCUAUAUUUAGUCAAAAGAUAAGGAAAAAUAAGGGUGGGUUUAUUUAUUUAUUUAUUUUUGGCUUCUUAACAAAUAUGGAGGGUGAAUUAAGGUUCUCAAAAAUAAGGGAGCCGAUUUAAAAAUAGUCAAUUCACGGGUGAGUAAUCCAAAAUUAACCCGUAGCCUAAUAAUGAUUGAUGAUGGGAUGAAAAACUAUAUAGAUACGAGGUGAUGCUGAUCCUGGUGGGAUUUAGCUCGGCCUAAUUGUUGGCCAUGCGGUUUUACAUUUUAAACACCGCGGGUUAGGCCUAGAGAUGUUUUCAAGCUUCAGAGAUUUAGAAUUUCUAAAAGUGGACCUUCUACCCUGUUAACAUUCAAAAAGAACUAAAAAAAAAUAGAAUUUUAAUAUCAUUUGAAAUAUAUUAAUUAAAUUCUAUCGUCUGAAAUAAAUUAAUUAAAUUUUUACCCCAUUUUUUUAGAUGAAGGUGUAGCUCAAGUGAUAAGAGUCAAGUCCCUUCUUCAAAUUUCAUUAGGGAGAACGAGGUGAAAUUAAACCAACGAUCCUCUUAGAUAAAAAUAAAAAAUAAAAAAAAGGUGAGAGAUAUAUUUGAUUUUUUGAGUUUCAAGUUUGAUUUUUUGUCUUAAUGAAAAGGAAAAGAGAGGACAAUAGCUUUCAAGUUUAUCCUUAUCUAACUUGAAACCACAUGAAAAUGAGGUAAUUUCAGGUUUGUAUAAGAAAUAUGAGGAUAUAUAAGCAAAAGUGCAAAACUACACCAAAAUUGGAGUUUAGUUUUUAAAAUUACUAUAAAAUUAUAUGAUUUUGUCAAAGUGAUUUAGAAAAAAAAGAUUACAAAACACUAAAACUAGAUUUUAACUUUUAAAAAUUACUUUUAAAACUCCUAACCGCAAUACCAAAUAUGCCAUUUAUGUGAAACAAAAGAACGAUGAAGGCUGAGGGUGGCAUUUGGUAAUGUCUUUCUAAUGACGUUCCUAUAUUUGUUUUAGGAAAAAUGACAGUAAGCCCUUAAUGUUUGGGAAAAGAAACAUAAAUCCCGUUAACGUUUUAAAAAAGGCAUAUAACCCCUAUUUUUGUUAGUAAAUUCUUUUUUUUAAAAGGAGUAAAUUCUAUUUAUUUUAAUAGUAAAUUUAUUUUUAAUUUGUAAUUACUAUUAUGUCCCUGUAAUAAAUAAUUCAAUAUAUCGACUUAAGAUAUGUGAUGUGUAUAAUGAAAUCAAUAAUUUUUUAAUAUCACUAUUUACACAUAUAAUUUAUUAUUUUUAAGGCACAAACUGUCACGUCCAAUUUGAUACGGAUCCUCUCUUAAUUUAAUUUUUCCUAACAGCAGUCUUAUCCUUAUUCUUUUGACACUAUUCGAAUGUAGAAUAAUAUAUACAUGUGCGCGCGCGCGCUUGAAAAGUAAGGACGUAAGAAACUAGAACACCAAAUCAUUGUGCUAGAUUGAAGAAAAUUAUACAAAUUAAAACCACAUUUUCCAGGCCCAUUUCAACGUCACAAAACCUUUGAAACAAAAAUGAAAAGAUUCCACAAAUGAAUAUAUAUCAACUUCGUGGUAAAACUCAAUACAAGCAGGGCCGGCUCCACCGUUAGGCCGAAUAGGCACCCCAAAAAUAAGAAGGCCCAAUUUUCAUAAUUAGUUAAUCUAAUUAUAUUUCUAAUAGAAUUAAGAAGGCCCAAUUUUCACAACUAAUUAUUUAAUACAAUUAUCUUUGGCUUCCCAAACGGUAACUAAUUAUUUAAUACAAAUAGUAAUUAAAUAUUUUAAUUAUCUUUCCAAUAAAACUUUUAAUAUUCCUUUUACAAUUAAACACCUUAAAAGCAACGCCCAAAUCCUUUGCCUUUUCAAAUCUCUCUUCCUCAGCAAGAAAGUCUAGAAUAUUCAUUCUCAAUUCCAUAAUUCAAGCUUCAUCUAAUCAUCUCAUCUCCUUCCAGUGAUCAAAUUCGAAAUUAUUGGAUUCUAAUUGUUUGCUUCCAUUGAUUGAAUUCGACAUCUCAUCUACUCCAAUUUAUCAAAUUCGGCAUUCUUUGUACUUGAGAAAGAAAACCCAUUACCUAUUUGUCAGCAUCUUUUUUUCUAUGUGCACUCAUUCUAAUUAUUUCGUUUUCACUUUUCAGUAUUUGUGUUUUUUAUUAUUUGUUUAUGCUUUUGUUUGUUUGUUUGUUUUCAUAUAUAAUAUUAGUACUUUAUAGGAGAAGAUUUGUUGUUUGUUAACUUAUUUGUUUGUUUGAUUCUGUUUGUUAUUUAAAAUUGAAUAAAAUGUCUUUCUUAUGUUUGUUAAAUGAAAUGUCUUUCUUAUGUUUCAUUAAAAUAAAAUAAUGAGAUUAUUUAAUGAUUUUAAGAAUUGUUGUUUUUAAAUAGAGAAAUGCCCCAUACAAAAAUUUCGCCUAAGGCCACUAAUGUGCUAGAGCCGACCCUGAAUACAAGCAUCCAUCAACUUGGUGCCACAUUGAUACGCCACAUUGAUACAACAACAAUGAUAACAGUAGUGCAAAUCAAUAGCAGCGCAAAUCUAUGCAAUGUAUAAAUGAUUUCAGCAAUUGAAUGUGUGAAAAAUGUGGAGACUAAUGAGAUUGCAAAAAGAGAUCCAAAGAUAAUAACAAUGAGACCCCAAAAUUGCAAACAAUUUGCUUGAUUGCGAUGAGACUUGUUGUUAACUGCAAAUGCAAUGAAAUAGAAGAUUUUGGCUUGUAGAAAAACACACAAGCUUACUCUAAGAGCUCAAUCAAUGGUUUAGUUGUGCUUUACGCUAUCGCACGCACAACAACAACAAAAUGAGAUACCCAAAAACUUUUAGGUACUAAAUUGAGAAAAUGAAAUUGCCAUUAGUACAAAGCCAUCAAAAUUUAAAUAUGAAUUGGCUACAUUCUUAUAUUAUUUUCACUUGUUGCACAUGUCUCCACGGACCAAUGGUGGAACCAUGAUUUUAGUUUGAUAGGCACCAUAAUGAAGAAACUAUAAACUUGACUAUGGUAUAACGACAAAUCUGCAAAGUUGAAGUGACUAAGAGGGGGGCUAUAAAUGAUAAAGCAUAAAAAAUAGUAGGUUGUAACAAAAUUAUGUCAAAAUAAGAGGGCCAGCAUAAAAUUAAACUGAUGCAUUAAACUUCCAGUAUGCUUUUAUAUUUUUUUGGAUUAUUUCGAGGUGGCAUUGCAAGUACUGUUGAUGCGAGAUUCUGGUUGCCUUCUCUACCAAGACCAGGAUCUCUGCUCGAUCAACUCUACCACGACCAGGAUCUCUCCUUGUUAAGCUUCUCCUCCAAAAGUUCCUGCAUUCACAAAAGCAGGUCAGAGUACGCCGGUUGUUUUUCCGGCGUAAACCCUCCGACACUCAAGUCAGAUAUGAAUGUUUUUUUCGCUCUUGGGAAUACUAGCCACUAAUCUUAUGGCUUUUCAAUUCUCUCGAGCUCUCUCUUUUUUCCUCAGUUCUAAUCUCAAAAAUUCUAACCCUUUUACCUUCGUUGGCUACCUUUUUAUAGGUCUCUUCUGGAUUCAGACCUUCCCUCCAUUCAUGCUUGUUAUCCUCCCACCUCUUGAAAGUGGAUGUUCCAUUUCUGCGAUCGUGGGUGGUUGCAUGGCCUUCAUGCCUUGAUUCUCAAACUGGAGAGCACGUCUCGCCAACUGUCGUUGACCGGGUCUCCUCGACUCAACCCUUAACAGAAGUGUAGCAGGAAUGACUUUACGCUUCCAGCAGGAGAUUGGCCUCGUGGAUUGUGCACUUGUGGACGAGCAGGAUAUUUCUGCUCCUGCUCUCCCGGAUACCAUACUCUUACAAGAUAUACCUGUUCGAGGAACCCUGCUAUCAGAUGUCUGCUCAUCACUGCUGGUCUUCGUCGAAGCAUAUCCCACAAACAAGUACCUUCACUCCUGCUGUGGACGUAGCUUGGCAUGUAAGCAUAAAGAAGAAAUAUAUGCUCCCCCUUUGGCCAAAUUUCUGCAAUUAAUUUGUAAAUGACAGAGUCCACCCCCUAUCACUUAAUGCAAUAAGUGACCGUUUGUCUCAUCAAUGGAUCCACGCUUACAAUAAUUAAAUCAUUCUCAAAAUAAAUGUGAUUUUUAUCAUCUUAAUUAAAUGACAUCUCCAAUAAUUUUAUUUUUCUGUAUAUUAAAAAAUGGACUCAAAAUUUUAUGGAUGGGUCCUAAACUGAAUCGAUAUAAAUUUAUUUAAAAAAAAAAAAUUAGAUUCUACAUUGUGACCUACUACUAGAAUUUUAGUGGACUAGGUAAUAGGCACAAUUGCCUAGAGUGCUAGCAUUUUGAUUUCUGAGCCGUAAUAUCUGUCCCCUUUUAUUUAUCUCAACAGCUGUCACUUUUUAAUUUAUUUCAUCUAUUUCAAAAAGGUUACCCUCAUUAAAAAUUAAAAAAUAUAUAUUUCUCAACUUUUUCUUUUCUCUCUCAUCUGCACAAUUUCUCUCUCUCUUCUAGCAAUCACCAUUGUAUAUCUCAGCAACCAUCACUUCUUAAAUAAUUCAAUGUAUUUCUAAAAUAAUCCUGGUUAAAAAAUUAAAUUUUUUUCCCUCUCGUUUGCACUGUUAUUAUUUUUUCUUUUGUUUUUGAGUAUCCUACUUUGCUUCUUUAAUGAACGAAACAUUUUGUAAGUCAAAUUCAAGAACAAAGGAAACCAAAAAUAAAUAAAUAAAUAAAUAAAUAAAAAAUUUAGUAAAUUUUUUUUCUUAAUUUUAUUUUUUAGCUUUUAUGAGAAUGAUGAGUUUCAAGAGGUAGGAAAUAAUAGAGACCAGUGAUAUGAUAUUUUUUUUCCUAAUUCAUUCAUCACACAUCAAAAUCCAUACAAUUAAUAACAACAAAAUUCAUGACUUAUUUAUAAAAUUAGAUAAAACCCAACAACAAAAACUCAUUAUAAUCUACAAGCAAGUGGUGAUGGAUAGAUGAUGAUGAAAAUAAGCAGUGGGGAUGAUAGAGGGGAAAAUUAAAGAUAUAAGUAUUAAUUAUCCUUAUUAAAAAGUAAGGAUAAUUUUGAUAAUUACACAUAUUUUAAUUGAGGAGGGGGAUGCCGAGAUAUGUAGAGGGGGUUAAUUAUCACAACUCUUGACUUCUUUUUUUUUAAUUUAUUUUUAGACUAUAAAAUAGAUUGUAUGCAAGAUGCUGGUUUGUUUGUUUGCUUUUAUUUUUUUAUUUUUCUCGCUUUAAGUUUGUUCGACUUUUAAAUCACGUUCUUCUUGCAUAAUGGGAUUCUGAAUCCCAAAUUCAAGCGACAGCUUUGUGGGUCUCAAGUUAACUCGAUUUAUGUCUUAAAUGUAACUGGUGUGAAUAUCGAAUACAGUGCAUCAAUUGCAACAUAUACCCAUAUUGCAACAUGCAUUAACAACUAAUUUUUUUGUUGUAAAUAUAAUUUUUGUUUUGUUUUUCUUUUUUUGUAUGUCUAGUAAGACUGUGAAUAUUAUUAAUUGAAUUUAUGCAAAUUUGAUGAAAUUAUGCAAAUGCAAUGCUUUAAUUUGAGUGAAUUAUGAUAAAUUUUGGGAUUAUUAUAAAUUGAAUAAUUUCUUAAUGAGGAAGUUCUCAUUUUAUUAAUAUAAGAACAAAACUAUAAAAAAAUGAAAACACAUAUUUUAAUAUAAUAUUUUUUUCCUUUUAGCAAAUUAAAAUUCAUUUUCUGUCUCUUAAUUUGUUAAUCAUUUUAAAAAAAUAAGUUCUUCCUCACACAUGAUUAGAGGAAGACUUAUUAUAAAUUAUCUAUUAUGUAUCUAUGUCAUAUAAAUACCGCAACUUUCAUUUCAUUUCAUUCACACAUCAAAAUUUAUACGCUUUUGUAAUAUUUCAAUUUCGAAAUUGCGCAUUGUGGCAUGACAUCCUAUAAUCAAUCUACACAUCUUUAUUAAUAUUAUAAUUAACAUAAUUUUUUUUUAAUUUGAUGGGUUUUACCAAGUUAACAAAUUAAUUCUUUUUCUUCUUUUUCAAAAAAAAAUUCCUUUGUGGAAUGCAACGUCAGAAAAAAAAAAUUGCUAAAAGAGCUGUGUAAACAAAAUACCUAAGUUGACAAAAGACUUUUGUAUCAUAAAAGAUAUUAAAUGAAAUUGAAUACUGUUACAAAAACAUAAAUUGUUCAAUACCUUGACAAACCCACAAGGAAAAUACCCAUGUUAUAAAAAAAUAAAUACAAAUUCGAAAAGAAAAUCUAAAAGUCAACUUCAUUGCCUUGUAAAAGAGGAUAUGAAAAACCAGAGUAAGCUGUCACUUAGCCAGUGCACACUGCCAUAACAAAUAAUUCUGAUAUCUCAACAACAAUUAAGGAGGGUAAUUCAAUUACAACAUUGUUAACAAAAAUUAAAUAAAAAUAAGUUUAAACAAUAAACCAUCAAGAGACUGAAAAAUUAACAUAGAAGCAGGAAUACGACAAAAUGGGAACAAAUUGAGAGUAACAAGGGCCAGAGGCCAUCACCAUCGAAAGUCAGAGGUAUUUCAGAUGAGCCUCGUUGCCGAUCAUCAUGAUCACGAUGUUGGAGUCUGCAUGGUCCUCAGAUCCUUCAGCCACCGGCUCACGUUUUCAAUUGACUCUGAAGUUGCAAGAAAAAAAUAUUCUUUGUUCCCACCCCACAAGCCUGUAACUUAGUUUAGACUGUUUAAUUUGGACAGAUCUUACAGCAAUUCAAUCCAUUUCACAUGUGUUUUCAAAUAUUAUGCACUAGACCUACGAUUUUGUUCCUUGAAUUCAAAACCCACAAAGUCAUGUGCAUUUGUAGGAUUAUUAGAAGUGAUUAAGAUAUUAUGUUUUUUUUUCAAUGUCUCUUGUACCUUGGAAAACCACAGGAUAGUAACAUAACGGCUAAAACUCUUAAAUGUUUCAACACAUGAGUUGCACCCAUAACAAUUCAGUAAAUAAUUUUUUCAACCUGAUUUAACAUAUGGAGAACAGUCCUACUCACAUAUCCAAGUAAACAUCGAAUGCCGAUCUAAUUAUCUAAUUCAAUGAAAAAACCCCAUGGCUCAUAAGUUUCUCUUAAUGAAUUAAUUGCAAUUCCAAUUCAACUCUAACAUGCCAAAAGUCAACAUCAGGUUAGUUUCAGCUUGCAUUACCAACUCCAACAUACAGAGAACAGCCCUACUCACAUGUACAAGUAAACACCAAAUGCCGAUCUAAUUAUCCAAUUCAAUGUCAAAAUUCGCCGAUUUUCACUUGAUGAAUAAAUUGCAUCUAAAAUAUAUAAUUGAAAUCCCAAACUUUCACCCCAAUAUGUAGCUGUCCACAAUGGCACUGCCACUUCACUUACCACAUAAAAUUAAGCAUUUAAAUCGUGGCCCAAAAUAUUCAGAUUAAAAUUAUAAAGCAUUCUUUUUCAAAAAACUAACAAGCGUUAAACUUUAAGCUCCAAAAAAAAAAGUCAUUUCAUGUGAAUUACAAUCUCACAAUGAUAGAUACAAUUAAAUCUCAUAUAAACUAAAUCAAUAACCGAAUUAUAAGUUAAAAUCACAAAUCAAUCAUCAUACUAAUAGUAAUUACGCAUCAACAACGAAAUCAGAUGAAGGAUUGAGCAAGACUGAGAGUAAGAGAGGGAGAGGGAAACUUUAAAUUUUUUAUGAUGAUUUUUGAAUUUUAAGGACAAUAUGAAUUUCGUCCGAUAAAACUACUUGCUUUAAUUAAUUAUUUAUUUGCCUCCUAAAAGUCUCAAAAUCUAAAUGGCAAUAAAUCUAUAUAUAUGCUGCGACUAUUUUAAAAUCUGUGCAAGUCAUCCACAAAGGCCUUUUGUACUGUUUAUAGAAAUCAGGCUCUUACCUCAGUCAAUUAAUCACUUCCCAAUGAGCUGCUCUCAUCAAAUACUUUGGUUUCACUGGUUCCUGAGCAUUGAUGAAAGUUGAAGAUAAAGAAAAUUAGUUACAUUUUGAGGAGAAGAAAAAAUAAAAAAAGUAAACUUAUCAAGAAAACUUGAAUUGCAGAAUCAGAAGACUGAAUUCGCUAUGUAGUAGGGCUACUUACACUACAUUAAGCUACUGAAUCUCUAAGUUUGUUACUGAUCAUAUGUUUUCUGAUUUAGAGUGGAGAAAGGAUGGCUAGUCUGAAAACAUUGAAAUUUAUAUUUUUGGAUAAAAUGAAAUACAAAAUUUUAAGUUCUUGUGUUAAAAACAAACCACAGCAACCAACAGCUGUUGUGGUAAUCAAUACAGGACAGACUCCUGGUUUCUCAUUAAUUAAAUCUACAGCCUUCAAAAUUAGUUAACUAUUACGUGAACAGACAGUAAAGAGCAUUAUAUGUAAUUUUGUAUCUAGAAAUAUUCUUUUCAACCAGAAAAAAAAAAAAGAGAGAACUUCAAAUUCAGAAGCUGGUAUUAUAAAGAGCGACAGAUUGUUCACUUUUGUAGACACCUUUUCUUUAAUUCAACAUAGACUUUGCUUCCCUAGUUUGUUUUUUUCUUUUCCACCUUUUUAAAAGAAGUUUCCAUCCGAGUAGCUACUACAAAAAAAAUCAUCCUGUCAGACAGGUUUCUAUAACAAAUAACUUCUAAUCAAAGCAUAUUUUAUAGAAUACCUGAGAUGAGUCAGCAACUGAUGCCAAGGCAAUUAAUACACCUUCUUGCACUAUUUGUUUUCCAUUCUGCCACCAAAAAUGAAAAAUUUAGAGGAAGACAUUGUUCGUUCAUUAAAGUAUGGUGUGAUAUAAAUGUACGUAUUAUAAGUCAGGUGUUGAUUGUUCUUUCAAUAUACCUGAAGUAGCACUAGCAAUUUGCUCAUAAUACUAAGUACAAUAUAGGCACAUCUGAAAGCCACACAACAUAUAAUCUAAGAUUCCAUUGAUAGACCAGUAAUUCAGCAUACCAAAUAUGAGAGGAAAUCAAAUAACUAGGAAAGGGAGUUUUGUAAAAUUCUAAGAGCUACUAGGCCACAGAAUAGCUACACCAAUUUGCAGAGUCCAAUUAAUUCAUUUCUCACUUUUAACCCCUUGAAAGGUAAAACAUAGAAUAUUCCAUGAAAAAACCUUCAGAAAAUUCUGGAAGCCAUAGAGUAACAUUUAUGAAAUGAUCGUGCUAAAAAAAGAUUCACAUAAGUAUGUAAGAAGCCUAGAAUCCACAUAUAAAAAAAAUAAGGUAAUGAAGAUCACCAUUUACCCCAUAUACAAUGAUGAGGACAUCCAAAGAAGAUAAUAGUCUCCACAUGCCACAAGAAAAAAUUGAACAAAUUGGUUACUAAACAAAAAAAAAAAAAGGGAGAUCAAAAGGCGUCCCAACAUGACGCCUAUCCUUUCUAAUAAACUCACCUGAUUGCAAAGGCAUUGUAAUAAAAUAGAUGUGUAAUUAGUUCCAUAAGAAAAAAACUAAAUAUCCAACAUAAUCCAUACCAAAGCACAUCUCUCCUUGAGUAAUUGCUAUUGAGGCACCUCUAACCACAAAAUAUGUACUAGGAGAAAACAAAUGAGAUCCAUUGAAAAAGUACUAGGAAGGAAAUGCAUUUUUGAAAGGGGGGAAAAAAAGUGUAAUUCACAAAUGUGGUUCAUUGGACAUAUCAUGGAAGGAAAGAAAUAUUAGUUUACACUUAAAUUUAUUUAUUCUCUAAAUUCCAUGCACACAAGACAGCUGUGCCCAACACUGGGGCAUAUGAAUGGAGUUGUGCAACUUUAAUAGUUGUAUACGAAUGAGCAAGCUGGUCCAAGAUCCACUACAAUGAAUGCGGGCACUAAUUUCUUUCCUAGCUCUGACUCUAAUACCCUAGUUUAGCUUAAAGAAUGGCUUAAAAAAGAUGAUAAUACAGAUAAGUUAGUAAACAGAACCCAUCUAGUUUCAGCAAAACAUAAGCUGGCCUAAUUAUAACUCAAUUCUUGUACUGCUUAGUAAACAAAAGCCAUCUGGUUGCAGCUUAAUAGUUCCAAUACAUGCUUAAUGUGGAUUAAUACACUCUCUUCGACAGUAUCCAAAUGCCAAAAAAUUAAUAAUCAAAUAAUCAAAGCCCAAACCUAAAUUUUUUAAAUUAAGAGACAUAAAUUAGAUCCCUCACCAUAAAUUAGAGGAAAAACUCAUCAACUUUGGUGAGAUUAAACGGGUACAAACAUGAAAUUCUCGAAUAAAAGCGAGAUUGAAACCAAACCUCUUCCUUUGUAUCGAAACCGAUCGAGAUAAAAAAAUUUCAAAUGAAAGUGAAAGCUUCUUCGAUCGAAUGAGAGUGAGAGCUGACAUUCAUGAAAUUAGGGAGCAAAUCCAUCAAAUUUGGUAAAAUUAACUGAAAAUAAACUUGAAGAUGCAUCAUGAAAGGCGAGAUUUAAACCAAACCUCUUCGUCUUCAUUGAAACUGAGAUCAUGGAAUUUCAAAUGAUUGUAACGAUGCUUCUUCGAAUGACAGUAAGAGAGAGAGAGCUGAUAUGUUUUGGUUUUUUUAACCCCCAAAGUGUGGGGCCGAGAGCUACAGAAAUUUGGCUGUUCUUUUUUUUUUUUUCUUCUUUUCCCCGCGAAUUUCAAGUACUGGGGAAUUUUAAAAUAAUUUUUAUUAUUUGCUAAUUUCUUCACUUUUAGAUACAUAAUUAGUUAAGUUCGUUCAUACAGUCAAAAGUUUUUGACAUUAAUAAAACGUCAUGACACAUGUUCCAAUUUUAUUGGUGUUAUUAAAUAUUUUUUUUAAUGAGGUACGCAAUGGAUAUAUUUACUAUCACAAUUUCAGCAUUUAAGUCAAUGUAUUUAACUAUCCUGAAAAAUUAUCAAUAAUAAAUGUCAAAAAUUUUCUUUCAAAGAUUGUCAAUUUUCCUAUUACUGAAAUCUACUUACUCCCUAUUAUUUUUAUGAUAACUAAUAACUCCCAACAAUAUAAUUUUAUAAUAUUACUCUUAUUUUUAAAUACAUAUUUAUUCAUAUCUAUUAUAAAUUAAAUAAAUCAUACAAAUAGAAAUUAAAAUAAAAAAUUUAAGUAUUAAAAAUAAAUAUAUUUUUUUAUCUGCUGUACGGCCAAGUAAAUAACAAAAAUAUAAAAAAAAUAUUUUAUUAUUAAUUUUUUAUUCAAAUCAAAACAUAUAUUUCUUAUUUUUAAUACUUUUUUUUUUUUAUUUUAAUUGCCAUUCAUGGGUAUCCUUGGAGCCAUCGUUCAGGCCACAACGAGCCCUUACCCUAAACGCAUACAAUAAGUAUGUGGAGUUUUCUUGUGACCCAAGUAAUCUACUACUUUCCCUUUGCAGUUGACAUCAAGUCUCUAAUUUGUCAAGAAAAUACAAACAAUGCAUAUAUUUAUAUUUUAUUUUAUAUUUUAUAAUAACAAUAAAACAAUGCAUAUAAGAAUAUGAUAUCGAACGCACUAUUAAAAACUAUAUAUUAUUGAAUGAAAAACUAUAUAUUAUUGAGUAUAUAUUUUGAUCCAUUGAAAUCUGCAAACUUAAGUGUAAUCUCUGAGUAAAAAGUCUUGGACGAAAUUUUAAAACAAAGAUUAAGCUUCUCCAACUACACUGACGACCGUUGUUCUUGUUCCAUCGAAGAGAAGUUGUUAUGAUGAGCUUGAAACCAAUUCAAGAAUUCAAGAUGUUGCAGAAAAAUGGCCCGACCGUUGUUCUUGUUCCAUCGAAGAGAAGUUGUUAUGAUGAGCUUGAAACCAAUUCAAGAUGUUGCAGAAAAAUGGCCUCAAAAUUUCUUGGUAAAGCCAAUGACAAGUAUUCAUAAGCUUUCUGCCAUAUUGGUACACAACUAUGAUAACAGCAGUGCAACUUAAUGCAAUGUAGCAAAUGAUUUCAGCUAUUAACUGUGUGAAAAAUAUGGAGACCAACGACACUAUUGAAAGAGAUCCAAAGAUAACAGCGAUAAGGCCACAUAGUUGUGAAGAAUUUGCUUGAUAGCGUCGAGGCAUGUUGUCGGCAGCAAAUGCAAUGUAGUGGAUGAUUAUAGCUACUAAAGAAACACACAAGCUUACUCUAUGAGUUUCCGUCAACGGCUUACUUGUGCCUUGCACAUUCGCGCCCAUAACAGUGACCAAGGUCGGGAUGAGAUAUCCAAAAAUUUUUGUGGAUGAGAUUGAGGAAAUGAAAUUGUCAUCACUGCAAAACCAUCAAAUUUAAUUUUUAACAAUGAAGAGGAAAGCUUCAUAUAUAAGAGAAAAAGACCCAGACCAAUAGACAUGUUUACGAGCUUUACAAUAUAAUGAGUCAAUAUUGAAAACUUUGUAACUCUCUAAUUUGAUCAAGUUCAGCUCUGGUCAAUAAAAGUCAAAACAUUCUGGUGUAAAUAACUUGCGUUUAGUGAUUAUGUAGACUCUUUGAUAUAUUUAGUAACUGCAGAAUUUUUGUCUAGAUGACAUACGAUUCCUUUUUUAUUUAAGAUACACUCAUUUUAAGAAGAGUCGGGAUAAUUAAUUCUCCUACUUAUGUUGUGUUCUAUUGUGUGACCUUUUUGCAAUUGAUCAUUUUGCCAUUUUUAACCUUGUUUCUUUGACUUAAUCUUGAUGUUCUUGUGUUAUCUCUUGAUUAAGCAAUGUUAAUUGAUCAUCUAUCAAUCAUUCUUAGUAGUUGUAUUAUUAUUAAGUAAUAAUAUUCGUCAUGCUCUGCCAUAGCAGAGCAUUUCUCAGUUAUGGCAGAGCAUGAUAAAGGGAAUUAAGAAAAAAAUGAAUAAUUCUACAAAAUCCAAAAGAAGAGAAACUUAUAAGCUUUCUGGGUUUAUAACAGUAACGAUCUUCUAGAAUUUAACUUUCUCUAGCUAAAAAAAAAGUUUUUGCCUGCAUCAAGAUAAAUUAAUAAUGCAUGAACAAACCUCAUACACUAGUCUAACAUGGCACCAUCAAGCUCUAGCCCUUACUCUUUAGAUCACAAAAUGCUCAUAGCAAAGCUUAUAGUCAGAUAAGAAAUGCCAAAAAAGAUGACAAAAGUAAUUAAGCUUUGUAUGAAUAAAAGAAAGAACUGUAUGAUUGAAAAUUUAGCUCAUAAUAACUAAAAUUGUAAGAAAAGUGUACGUAUAUACCUUGAAGGAUCAAAGUUCUGUCGACGAAGGUGAUGGUGGCAGGGGCAGGUUGUUGGCAUCAUAUUGAUCUCGGAAUGCAACUCUUCUUCUUCUGCACAAGUUCAACUCACUCAGGAGCACAAGUUCAACUCACUCUGGAGCAGAAGUUCAACUCGUUGUUCUUAUAUGCAUCACGAUCACGGAAAGGGAAAAGUUUGGGGGGGCAAUUUUGGAAUACACAUGGGGCCCAUAAUUUCAUUGAAAAUGAAAAAGGUUGGGGGCAAUUUUGGAAUUUGAAUGGCUUCUGGCGGAUUUUUAUGGGGCCCAUAAUUUCAUUGAAAAUGAAGGAGGCCCGGGGGGCAAUUUUGGAAUUUGAUUCGGUUCUGGCGGAUUUUUAUGGGGCCCAUAAUUUCAUUGAAAAUAAAGGAGGCCCGGGGGGCAAUUUUGGAAUUUGGAUGGCUUCUGGCGGAUUUUUAUGGGGCCCAUAAUUUCAUUGAAAAUGAAGAAGGUCGGGGGGCAAUUUUGGAAUUUGAAUGGCUUCUGGCGGAUUUUUAUGGGGCUUCAUUGAAAAUGGAGGAGGCCCGGGGGGCAAUUUUGGAAUUUGAUUCCAGCGUAUUCUUAUGGGGCCCAUCAUUUCAUUGAAAUGAAAAAGGUUGGGGGGCAAUUUUGGAAUUUUGGUGGCUUCCUGCGGAAUUUUUGGGGCCCAUAAUUUGUCGAUGAAAUACCAUUUACACUAUCAGCGAUAUUAACUCGGUUACCCAGUGGAAAAGAGUUAGCACACUUUUGACGAAUCACGCCGAAGAAAGGGGAAAAAGAAAAAUAAAAAAAAUGCUACCUCACACAAAUAAUCAAUUUUUUUACUAUAUAAAAUUCUAAUUAAUUUUUUUCUUUCAAACAAUCAAUUAUGUAUGAUUAAUCAUAUUUCCUACUAUCAAAAGACAGCAAGUCGGUAAUAAAUUGCACAUAUAAGGUAUUCAAAUUUAAAAUAAUUUCCAUUGCUGAUUGAGUAGAAAAAAACAAAUUAUAUUUUAUUUAUAUCAUUCACACAUAUUCAAGCAACCACUAUUUAGCAACUCUAAAUGGGACUUACAAUAUUAUGUUAAAUGUUAUAAAAUACUUGCUUAGACAAAUUACCCUCACAGACGAGAAAUGUCUCGUCUCUACUCCACUCGUAUUUCGCAAGGGAGAAAAACUUAUAAAUAACCUCACACAAACGAGAAAUGUCUCAACUCUACUCGUAUUUCGCAAAGGAGAGAAAGACUUACAAAUAACCUCACACAAUCAUGCAUAUUACUUAAUUGAUGGAGUUUGGGUUCAUGGAAAUUCAAACCCUUACCCUCACAAUCAUACUUAACUAUAAAAGUAGAGACUCGUAGCUGGGCCAAAGGCUCAUUGACAUGUUAGGAGUUAAAGUUAACCAACUAAAAUGGAUUCCAUCCAUGGAGGCAUGAUAAAAAGAAUAAUAAUAAUAAAAUCGAAAGACAAUGAUGGACCGUUGGUUUUGUAAUUCUUUAUGGGAGCUUAGUAGCAAUGAAAGUGCAAGGAAAUUUACUUGAUUUAUGUAUUAAACUUAACAGGUGUGAAUACUGAAUAUGGUGCAUCAAGUAGAACCGUAUAUCCAUUUUAUUUUCCGUUAUUAAUAAUUAUUUUUUCUUUUUUGUAAAUAUAAUUUUUGUUUUCUUUUUUGUUUGUCUAGUAAGACGGUAAAUAACAUUAAUUGAAUUUAUGCAAAUAUGAUUGAAAUUAUGCAAAUGCGAUGCAUUAAUUUGUGCAAAUUGUGAUCAAUUGUGGGUUUACUACAAAUUGAAUAAUUUUCUAAUGAAGAAGUUGUCAUUUUAUUAAUAUAAGCACAAAUGUAGAAAAAAAAAAAAUGAAAACACAAAUUUUAAUAUAGUAUUUUUUUGUCUUUUAAUAAAUUAAAAUUCAUUUUCGGUCUUUUUAACUUGAUCGUGAUUUAAUAAGGUAUUCCUCACACCUGAGUAGAAGGAGACUUAUUAUAAAUUAUAUCUUAUAUAUCUAUUAUCAUAUAAGUACCGUUAAUUUCAUUUCAUUCACACAUCAAAAUUUAUGUGCUUUUGUAAUAUUGCAAUUUCUAAAAUGCACACUGUAGCAUGACAUCCAAUAAUCAAUCUACAUGUCUUUACUAAUAUUACAAUUAACUUAAUCUCUUUUAAUUUGAUGGGUUUUUAGCAAGUUGACAAAUUAAUUCUUUUUCUUUUUUAUCAAAAAAAAAAAUCAUUUGCGGAAACAAAUGAAAUAAUGCAACCUCAGAAAAAACUUGCCAUAAGAACUGUGUAAAACUCUGUGUGUGCGUGUGUGUAUAUAAAAGAAAAUAAAAAAAUUGAGGGGGACUUUUGUAUAAUAAAAGAUACUAGUUAUUGUUACAAAAACAUAAAUUGUUUAAGAUCUCUGCAAACACACAAGGAAAAUACCUAUUUUAUAAAAAAAUAAAUAUAAAUUAGAAAAGAGAAUAUAAAAGCCAACUUCAUUGCCUUGUAAUAGAGGAUAUGAAAAACCAGAGUAAGCUGUAACAUGGCUAGUGCGCACUGCCAUAAUAAAAUAAUUCUGAUAUCUCAACAACAAUUGAGGAGAAUAAUUCAAAUACAACAUGGUUAACAAAAAUGAAAUAAAAAUAAGUUUAAACAAUAAUCCACUGAGAGACUGAAAAAUUGACAUAGAAUUUAGGAGGUGUUUCAGAUCACUCUUGUUGCCGAUCAGCAUGAUCACGAUGUUGGAGCCUGCAUGGUCCCGAAGAUCCUUCAGCCAUCGGCUCACGUUUUCAAAUGUUGUUGAUUUUGUCACAUCAUAAACCAAAAGAGCUCCCAGUGCGCCCCUAUAAUAGGCACUGGUUAUUGCUCUGUAUCACUCCUGGCCUGCAGUAUCCCAGACCUGGGCUUUUAUUGCCUUCAACCAGAAAAUCACAGAUUUCUCCUUAGUCCUACAACAAAACGCUGCUUUAAGCAAAAAAAUGGAAAAUUUACGAAAAUAACCAUUAAUAUUUUAUUAUUUUCGCAAUUAACCGUCUCAACUUUUUUCUAUCAAUAUUAGCCAAACACAAGCCUUUCUUCCCAGACUACCCUUCUUUACAGAACAAAACCAACAUUGUUUCUCCCAUAUCGCCAAACCAAAAGCAGCUUUUCACUCUUGAAUCAUCAGCCAACGGUGACCGCAAAAGACAACGGUAAAAGUGAUAUCCGAUCAUAAUCUAUCCGGAUCCAACACAAAUCGACAUCACUUAGUGGUAUGAAUUAUUUUCUGAACUUACUGAGUCGGGUGAAUCUGAAUCUGGCGACAGGCUGCCUGUCGCAGCAAAACUUGGUGCGACAGGCAACCUGUCGUACCAAGCUUCGGGCGACAGGUUGCCUGUCGCACUCACCCCGGUGAUUCAUUAAAACUGUAUUAUUUUAAUAGGACUGAAAUAAUUUUUUUUUAUAAUUUCAAGCUUAAUGGAUUCAGUUGUUCUUGAAUUGUGUUACGAUGGUUGGUGGGAGACAUUAGAGAAUGGCCGUAUGGAGUACGUGAAUGGUAAAAAUCAAGCUUUUUUUGUUGGAAAAAAUUAUCUGUUUGAUCAGUUAUUGGCAAGAGUAUAUGAGGUGUUACAAAUAAACCCUAAUGACUAUAGUAUCACAAUGAAGACAACUUUGAGGUCUAGUAACACAUUAUAUCGUAUGUGCAAUGCCCAUGGAUAUAUGUAAUGAUGAAAUGGUGAGGGUUGUGUUGCAUAUGGCAUCUGACGUAGCUAAUUUUGGAUGCAUUCCUAUAUUCGUGACCACAUCACCUCGAGUUCCGAGCGAAGGUAUUGAGCCACAUGUCGAUACAGAAACUUCGUUUAGAGCAAAUAUGUCUGGCCCCGAUAAUGAUGAAGAGGUGUUGCCAAGGACAAUAUCGCUGCAGCAAUAUUACUCUCCAAUCCACGACAAUUAUGACAACAUUGAUGAUAAUGGCGUUACGUUACAGGAUGUUCUGCUGUACGGCCAAGGGGGAUGUACGGUACAGCAGCCAAAGUUUAAAAAAAAAAUACGUUAGAGCAACGGUAUUCUCCGUAUCACAACAAUGAUUUUCGGGACAAUGAUGAUUUUCAUAAUGAGACAGAGGGGGAUAAUGUUUGUGCAGAACCUUCUAAUAAUACGAGGCGGGGCACUCGUUUCAAUAAUGACGGUGAUGAUGGAGAAGCCGGUCCUUCGAAUGUUCGGUCAUUUCAGCAUGAGGAUGAGUGUGAAGACAAUACUCCUAUGAAUAACAGAGGCAAUAGACUUAUUCCUUCUAUGGUCCGAACCAUUGUCAUAUCACCAGCGAACCAUCGAUCAAACUCAGCAAACAGACUAGAAUCCUCCAAUCCUCUCAGUGGAUUUAUAUAUACACUCGUAUUCAUGUCAAUCGCAUGGUCCAUGAUUUGGGGUCGAGGUAUAGGCCGAGCGUUCUUUCCUCGCCUGAGUGGAGGAAUCAUGUAAGGACUGUUAUAAACAUACGACGGUAUGUACGCGCGGCCGAACUUACUAACGCCCGGAGGCACCUCAGAGAACACCUACACGCUCUCCCCACUAACAUUCCCGUAAAAAUUAUACAAUGACGUGGGCGUAGACAAAUUUUGAUUGCUCACGUCAGUAUACACUCCAUAGUCAUCCGGGGCAUGUCCAUUCGCCAAGAUGAACAUAUUAAACAACUAUUAAAUUAAAAGUUAAACGAACAUAAUUAUUAAAUUUAAUUAUGCUCACCGCAUACGAGCGUCCGGUGAGAGAAUCCUUAUUUAGAUGUGUAGAAAAGGUGUCGAUAAAGCCAAUUACGGUUUUUUAAAAUCUUUUAAUUCCGACUUCAAUUUAUACACGUUACGAUCAAUCUUAUCCAGCCGUCGUCGCACGCAAUCAUUAAACUGCUUUGUCCUCGACUAUUACAAAAGAAAAUAAUGCACGGUCUACUACGACACGUUUCGAGGCUCACUAUUGUUUAGAAUCAUGUAAAUGGCGUAUACGAGCAACUAGAAAUUCGAACGACCAAAAUGUUCCUUGGGUGAUGAAGAGAAUUGAUAAUGUACACACUUGUCAUAAUGAGGUAUUGGUUGAUGGACGUCAUCAAGUAAGGAGCCGGGUUGUCGGUCAUAUUAUCGCAGAAAAAUAUAUUCAAGAUAAGAGGAUUUAUACUCCCAAUGACAUAAGAGCAGAUAUGCAACAGGAAUACGGUGUUCAGUUAACAUACCAACAGGCAUAUAGGGCGAGAGAAGUUGGUCUUGAAAUAGUUCGCGGCAACCCUGCAGAGUCAUACAACUUGCUCCAUAAAUACUAUCACGUACUAACUACAGCGAAUGAGGGUACAGUCACUCACCUCGAGCAGGAUGGAGAUGGUAAUUUCUUGUACUAUUUUGUAGCACUCGGAUCUUCCAUCAAGGGGUUUAUGCAGUACAUUCGGCCUGUCAUUGCUGUAGAUGGUACUCAUCUGAAGGGACUAUAUCGUGGAAGCAUGUUCGUGGCAACAUGUCUUGAUGGUAACAAUCAAUUGUAUCCGUUAGCCAUUGGGAUCAUGGAUUCAGAAAACAACGAUGCUUGGGAAUGGUUUAUGAUGAAGUUACACAGAGUGAUUGGCGAUAGACCUGAAUUGGUAAUUAUCUCUGAUCGAUGCACUGCCAUAAGGAGAGCCGUUCUUAAAGUAUUUCACAAUGCAACUCAUGGCGUUUGUUUUUACCACGUCAAAGGUAACAUUAAGUCACAAUUUAGAAUGUCCAAAGCUCUUUGGGAUGAAUUUGAGCCUGCCUUUAUUAAUGCAGCAAAAAUAUAUGGCCACGAGGAAUUUAAGAGACAACUUAAAGGGUUGUGGAUGAUCCACUCGGGUGCGGCUGAUUACCUAGAAAAUAAUGUCGGUACGUGUAAUUGGGCAAGGUCGCAGUUUGAAGGUAGGAGGUACAGCAUUCUUACCACCAACAUCGCGGAGAGUGUUAAUGCUUUCAUAAGGGAACCUCGAAAAUUUCCUGUUACUCAUCUUGUUGAUCACUUUAGGAAAACAUUGCAGCAAUGGUUUUAUGAUAGAAAAAUUGUGGCUGAAUCAAUGACUACUCGGCUAACAACAUGGGCGGAUGAAAUAGUCACUGAGAGGAGAACUAUAGCUGAAAGAAUGAUAGUUCGGCCGGUGUCUCCGCAUCGCUUUCAAGUUAUAGGCGGUGGGCUUAAGGAAGGGUUGGUUGACUUGCAAAAGAGAACUUGCUCCUGCAGAGUGUUUCAGCUUGAUCAGCUUGUGUGUGCUCAUGCAAUUGCGGCGUGUCUAACACACCGGGUGGAUUUUAUUAACCUUUGCUCGGACUUUUACACUACAGAAUCGUUGGCGAUGGCUUAUGCACAACCAGUGGAGCCAGUUGGUGAUGUGGCUGAUUGGGAAGUGUCAGAUGAAAUUCAGGAGAUGGAAGUAUAUCCACCAGUUGAGGCACCACCACCUGGCCGUCGUAAAGAGCUCAGAAUACCCUCGGCUGGCGAGGAGGUUGACCGGCGGACUGUUAGAUGCGGCCGGUGUUAUAAACUAGGCCAUAAUCGUAAGUGAUGUAAGAAUCUUAUUGCGUCGACUCGAAGUUAGUUGUAUUUUGUGUGUUAUUCGUUGGUUAAAACUAUUAUUGUUUUUGUGUUUCGUUGGUUAAAACUGUUAUUAUUUUUUGUAUUUCGUUGGUUAAAACUGUUAUUAUAUUUCGUUGAUUAAAAAUGUUAUUGUUUUUUGUGUAUUAUACACUUAUAUUUCAUAAAAUUUUAUUUUAUUUUAAAGUUCAAAAUGUGAAGCAUUAAAAUUAUAUAAACUUAAGUGCGCAAAUUAAAAAAAAAAUUCAAAUUUCAACAUUAAAAUUACUACAUAGGUCUACAAAAUAAUAUCGUCAUUAAAUAUAUCAACCGCAAUCUUCUUUCUAAAGUACUUGCGCUCUUAACUGCGAUAACUUUCCACGGGUCUUCACUUCGCAACUCAGGUCGGAUAUUGUAGAAGCCAACAUAUUCCAACCAUCGAGGGAAUAUAACUUCAAGUGGCUUGAAUUUCAACUUGUACCUUUUGUCGUCGCGAAAUGUGAGUAAUGAGUCAUAAAUCCAGACUUUAUUUUUCCGAAAGUCAACUCGUGCUAGUGUCCAAUGCGCGCCGUCUAAGUUAACAGGGAUGAGUAACUGCAUAUAAAAAUUGAAAAACAUGUUUGUUAUAUAUGCAAUUAAAUACAACCAAGAAAAAGCCAACAACUCGAAUAUUUUCAUUAUAGAGCAUGUGAAAUGUAAUAAAAUACAUACCACAUCGACAUCCAUCAUUGAUUUGGACAUUGUGUGCUGUCGCCCACAAAGAUAACUAUUCAAGCGGUCGUCGAAUACUAAUGAAUCGACCGCACAAUCCCCGUUGUUCCAUAACUGAUUCAAGAAAACCUAGUACAUAGAUAACCAAGAAAUGCAUAAAUGAACAAAACUUAAAGGCAAUAAUUAAAAAUCAAAUUAAAUAGUCUUUAUAAGUUUUGUCGGCACGUUACCCAAAAAAAUGUGUCAGUAUGUGUGACACGUUGGAGUAAGGCAUUUGGAUAUUGCCGUUGUUUCUCGCUAAUCAAGCGGAGAUACUCGUGAAUAUGCUGUAGAGAAAUAGAUAUAUUACGAUUUAAAAGAAAAAUUUUGGUGAAACAAAUCCACAACAGUAUACAUAACUUCGAAAAUACCGAAUACCUCAUCGCCUAGCCAUCCCAUCGAAGCUGUACCCAAAAUUAUUUGAAAGAAUGACCGCGGGUGCUGGACUCUCCGGCGGACUCUGCUAUCACCAGUGAACCAUCGAUCAAACUCAGCAAACAGACUAGAGUCCUCCAAUCCUCUCAGUGGAUUUAUAUCCACACUCGUACUCAUGUCAAUCGCAUGCUCCAUGAUUUGGGGUCGAGGUAAAGGCCGGACGUUCUGUCCUCGCCUGACCGGAGGAAUCAUGUAAGGACUGUUAUAAACAUACGACGGUAUGUACGCACGGCCGAACUUACUAACGCCCAGAGGCACCUCAGUGAACACCUGCACGCUCUCCCCACUAACAUCCCCGUAGGAACUAUACAAUGACGUGGGCGUAGAAAAAUUUUCAUUGCCCACGUCAGUAUACACUCCAUAGUCAUCCGAGGCCUGUCCAUUCGCCAAGACGAACAUAUUAAACAACUAUCAAAUUAAAAGUUAAACAAACAUAAUUAUUAAAUUUAAAUUUGCUCACCGCAUACGAGCGUGCAGUGGGAGAAUCCUUAUUUGGACGUUUAGAAAAUAUGUCGAUGAAGCCAACAACGGUUUCUUUAAAAUCUUUUAAUUAUGACUUUAUUUCAUACACGUUACGAUCAAUCUUAUCCAGCCGUCGUUGUAUGUAAUCAUUAAACUGCUUUGUCCUCGACUAUUACAAAAGAAAAAAUUAAAACUUUAGAAUAACAAAAAAAAAUUAAUAAUUUACAAAGAAAAAAUUAAAGUAUAUUAUUUAUAACCUCAGAAUCCCGUGCGUCAUCAGAGUUGUCUGUUUGCUGCUGGUGGUCAUCAACAACCACCUCAUCCUCAGAAGUGUCAUGACGCUGCUCUGGUAUUGGGUUUGGUAUGUCGUCAUGAUCGUCAUGCUCGUCUGAUUGCCUUGUAACCGACGGCAUCGCGUUGAUUGAGGGUUGGUGCUGUAUAAAGUAUCAUUUAAAAUUAGUAAAUGAAAAGCUAAAAAUUUUGAUUACAAAAUUUUUAGUACUUAGAGUAUACCGACCUUAUGAACCCAGUCUAGAAUGCUUGGCAAGUAAUCCUUCACAGAGAGCCAAUAUUUUCUGCUACUCUCCUUUGAAUUUGGCUCAAGACUUUGUAAAACGUCCCCCUGCCAUAAAUUUAAUUGAAAAUUUUCAGUAAGUAUACAUAACUUAAAUUUAGUCAAGUUAAAAAAAUAAGUAAUACAUAUUACUUACAAGACGAGAUUCGUCGUUGAAGAAUGAAUAAACCUCCGCAAAGUUGAUUCUCGAAGACGCCAUGGGCUUCCAUUGCAGAAUGAGGGGAAUCUUAUUCUUCGUUUUGACGACCCAUGUUGAUGGCAACCCUCCGAUUGCUUCGUAAAUCCAAGCCUACAACAACCAAAGUGAAAAAUCAAAUAAAACAACUAUCAAAUAUUUAAUACUAUAAAACUUAUUAAUAAACAAAAAAAAACGCAUCUGAACCCCAGACGUAAAGCCGUAUAGAUUGUAUUUUUCAAUGUUAUGAUCUGGAUUUUUCAACCGAGUCUUCUUAAAUUUCUCGUCUUUCUCGAACAGUGCAUUGUCAAGACUCUCGUAAAUAAUUUCCCACGACAAUAGACCCCAUGGACGCUUUCGGAAGUACUGUAUAUCAUCAACUUGGUCAAGCCAAUCGAAAUUAAUUUGACAGUGAUUUUUUCUUGCAUUUAGUACUCUGUCCGCAAAAUAAAACAGCGCAAUCUUUAGUGCGUCCAUAUCGUCAAUUUCCUCGAAUUUCAACUCCUUAAAUACUACAUCGAAUUGCUUCACAUUAAUCUUACGAUGCACACCACCAAAAUACGUAUUCCGUAGCCUCUGCUCUAUUUCAUCAUUUUUUUUAUUGGUAUCAACACCAAAUGAAAGUCCAGUAACCAAGCACCAUUCGACAAUUGACAAGCGAAUCAAAUGCUUACCAAUUUGAAACCAUAACUGAUCCUCACGGCUAUCUUCUUCAUGGGCCACUUGCCGCAGUAGAAGAUUGUGUAAAAUUACCCCACUGAAUGGAAAACUUCGACACUCCAAGAAAUGGCCAAAUAUAUCCUUUUUGAACAUACGCAACUGCAGGUUUGUUAAUUUUUCCUCAAUGGCUUUAACGACCGAAGAUAACAUACACAUGCUCAAAACUCGACCAGGAAAGUGAUCAUCAUAACGAAAAUACAUCUUGCCUACUUCAAUAUCCGGUGAAAAUUCGAUCAGGAAAGUGAUCGGCAUAACGAAAAUACAUCUUGCCUACUUCGAUAUCCGCUGAUUCUGAUUUCGCCAUGUAUCUAUAAUAUUUAUAAAAUUAUUACAUUACAUUUACAAAAAAAAAAAAAUUAACUCGUUACAAAAAAAAAAUCUAAUUUUUGGUGCGAGAGGCUUGCUGUCGCACCAGAUCUGGUGCGAUAGCGUGCCGCGCAUGGGCGCGCGCUGCUGCCCAGCGAUGGGCGCGCACGCGCACCCUGCCCCCCUCCCUCCCCACCCCCAAAAUUAAGCGCAAUCACUCCAAAAUCGAAAACAAUACUCCCAAACACCACCAACCACCACAAACAUCAUCACCACCACUAUUAAUCUCAAGCUAUAACUAUUAUUAUUCUAAAAUCUCAUUUUAAAUUAAUGAAAAUAAGAAAAAUGACUAACCUAGGUUUUGUUGAAGGUUGUAGAUCGUAGAUCGGAUGCCGGUGAGAGAUGGAGCCGCCGCCGAAGAAGGUUGAUGUCGCCGCCGAUGAUGGGAGUUGGAUCGGUUUGGGAGAGAUGAGUGAAAGGGAGUGUUGGGGGAGAGAUGAGGGAGGGGUAUUUUGGUCUCAAAGGUUGUUUUAUGGCUAAUGUUGAUAUAAAUAUUUUUGGGGGGUUAAGAUGAAAAAAAGCAAAACUUUUUUGGUUAUUAUUGUAAAUUUCCCCAAAAAAAUUCCAUUUUUAAUUGACUCUGGAGUUGCUAGAAAAAAAAUUUCUUUGUUCCCACAAGCCGGUAAAAGAGUUAAGACAAUUUAAUUUGGACAGACCUUACAGCAAUUUAAUUCAUUUUACAAGAUGAAGCAGGGUUUGCAAAAUAUUAUGCACUAGACUUAUUAUUUUGUUCCUUGAAUUCAAAACUCACAAAACCCUAAGACCUCUUUAAAUUUCACACGCUAGUGUGAGUUGACAAUAACUUUACACCAUGUGCACUUGUAGGAUUAUUAUAACUAAUUAAGAUACUAUGUUUUUUUUUACUGUCUCUUGUACCUUAAACAACCACGGGAAAAUCUUAAAUGUUUCAAAACAUGAGUUGCACCCAUAAAAACUCCGUAAAUAAUUUUUUCAACCUUGUUUUAACACUUAUAUUUGUUUUUCAGGAAAAGUAUAAGAUAUGGUAACUCGAUAAACUCAAAUAUCAUGGGUGAAAUGUAACUCUGGGGCUUUGUCUUCACUAGGAACCAGUCAAGACAUAGAGGUCAACCAAAACCCAAACACGUGGAAUGAAUACUCAGCUCUAGCUCAAAGUUGACAUCCUUUUCUUUUACGUACACCACUCAGUCUCAUCACCCUAUGUCCAAACAGGCUAAAGCUGCAAUUACUGUCAACCCCAAGUAUCAGCUUUGAUUCACGAUUUCAAGACAUGAAAUCCCAACUCUAACUUGCGAAAACUCAACAUCAGGCUUGAACAGAAUGGUUUUGACUUGCAUAACUAACUUCAAUAUAUGGAGAACAGUCCUACUCACAUAUCCAAGAAAACAUCGAAUGCCGGUGUAGUUAUCUUAUUCAAUGAAAAAGUCAACAUCAGGUUAGUUUCAACUUGCACACCAACUUCAAAAUACAGAGAGCAGCCCUACUCACAUAUACAAGUAAAAACCAAAUGCCGAUCUAAUUAUCCAAUUCAAUGACGAAAUCUGGCGGUGCAUGAUUUUCACUUGAUGAAUAAAUUACAUCUAGAAUAUAUAAUUUACUCCAAACUUUCAACCCAAUAUGUAGCUAUCACAAUUUGGCGCUGCCACUUCACUUAACACAUAAAAUUAAGCAUUUAAAUCGUGGCCCAAAAUAUUCAGAUUUAAAUUAUAAAUCAUUCUUUUUCAAAAAACUUAAAUAGCAUUCAAGUAUAAAUUCCAAAAAAAAGGGUCAUCUCAUGUGAAUUACAAUCUCAUAAUGAUAGAUCCAAUUAAAUCUCGUACAAACUAAAUCAAUAACCGAAUUAUAAGUUAAAAUCACAAAUCGAUCAACAUACUAAUAGUAAUUACGCAUCAAGAAUGAAAACAGAAAAAAAAAAUUGAAUCACUUCCAGUUUAAAUGAAUCUACAAAAAUCUGUCAUAACUAGAUGGUGCAUGUGUAUAAACAACAACUUCGAUGGAUUAAUUUAAACCAGUCAUCUAAAUAUUUGAAAUAAUUCAAAAUCAUUGCUUUAAAACUUGAAUUACUAGCGAGCAAGGCUGGGAGGAUUGAGCAAGACUGAGAGAGUAAGAGAGGGAGAGAGAAAUUGUAAAUUUUUUAUGACGAUUUAGUCAGAUAAAACAACUUUCUUGCGGCUAAUUAAUUAAUUAUUUGCUUCUUAAAAUUCUAAAAAUCUAAAUGGCGAUAAAUCUAUAUAUAUGUUGUGACUAUAAGGAGAAGCUGGUAUUAUAAGGAGUGACAGAUUGUUCACUUUUGGACAUACCUUUUCUUUUUAUUCAACGUAUACUUUGCUUCCCCUUUUUUCAAAAAAAAAAAAAAAAAAAGAGAAGUUUGCAUCUGAGGAACUACUACAAAAAAAUCAUCCUGUCAGAAGGUUUUUCUAACAAAUAACUUCGAAUCAAAGCAUAUUUUUUAGAAUACCAAUGCAAUUAAUACAUCUUCUUGCACCAUUUGUUUUCCAUUCUGGGACCAAAUAUGCAGAAUUUAGAGGAAGAAAAUGUUCGUUCAAUUAAAGGAUAGUGUGAUAUAAAUGUAUGUAUUAUAAACUGGGUGUUGAUUGUUCUGGCAACAUACCUGAGGUAGUCCUAAUUUGCUUGCAAUAAUGAACGCAGGUACUAAUUUCUUUCCUAGCUCUGUUUCUAAUACCCUAAUAUAGCUUAAAGAAUGGAUUAAUAAAGAUGAUAACACAGAAAAGCUAGUAAACAGAGUUAAAAUAUUAUGUUCUAUCCAAGAAAACAUUGAAUGCCGAUCUAAUUAUCUAAUUCAAUGAAAAAACCUGGUGGGUCGUAAGUUUCUCUUAAUGAAUUAAUUGCAAUUUGGAUUCAACUCUAACAAGCAAAAAGUCAACAUCAGGUUAGUUUCAACUUGCAUCACCAAGACACCAACUUCAACAUACAGAGAACAGCCCUACUCACAUUUACAAGUAAACACCAAAUGCCGAUCUAAGUAUCCAAUUCAAUGACGGAAUCCGCUGGUGCAUGAUUUUCACUUGAUGAAUAAAUUACAUCUAGAAUAUAUAAUUUACUCCAAACUUUCAACCCAAUAUGUAGCUAUCACAAUUUGGCGCUGCCACUUCACUUAACACAUAAAAUUAAGCAUUUAAAUCGUGGCCCAAAAUAUUCAGAUUUAAAUUAUAAAUCAUUCUUUUUCAAAAAACUUAAAUAGCAUUCAAGUAUAAAUUCCAAAAAAAAGGGUCAUCUCAUGUGAAUUACAAUCUCAUAAUGAUAGAUCCAAUUAAAUCUCGUACAAACUAAAUCAAUAACCGAAUUAUAAGUUAAAAUCACAAAUCGAUCAACAUACUAAUAGUAAUUACGCAUCAAGAAUGAAAACAGAAAAAAAAAAUUGAAUCACUUCCAGUUUAAAUGAAUCUACAAAAAUCUGUCAUAACUAGAUGGUGCAUGUGUAUAAACAACAACUUCGAUGGAUUAAUUUAAACCAGUCAUCUAAAUAUUUGAAAUAAUUCAAAAUCAUUGCUUUAAAACUUGAAUUACUAGCGAGCAAGGCUGGGAGGAUUGAGCAAGACUGAGAGAGUAAGAGAGGGAGAGAGAAAUUGUAAAUUUUUUAUGACGAUUUAGUCAGAUAAAACAACUUUCUUGCGGCUAAUUAAUUAAUUAUUUGCUUCUUAAAAUUCUAAAAAUCUAAAUGGCGAUAAAUCUAUAUAUAUGUUGUGACUAUAAGGAGAAGCUGGUAUUAUAAGGAGUGACAGAUUGUUCACUUUUGGACAUACCUUUUCUUUUUAUUCAACGUAUACUUUGCUUCCCCUUUUUUCAAAAAAAAAAAAAAAAAAGAGAAGUUUGCAUCUGAGGAACUACUACAAAAAAAUCAUCCUGUCAGAAGGUUUUUCUAACAAAUAACUUCGAAUCAAAGCAUAUUUUUUAGAAUACCAAUGCAAUUAAUACAUCUUCUUGCACCAUUUGUUUUCCAUUCUGGGACCAAAUAUGCAGAAUUUAGAGGAAGAAAAUGUUCGUUCAAUUAAAGGAUAGUGUGAUAUAAAUGUAUGUAUUAUAAACUGGGUGUUGAUUGUUCUGGCAACAUACCUGAGGUAGUCCUAAUUUGCUUGCAAUAAUGAACGCAGGUACUAAUUUCUUUCCUAGCUCUGUUUCUAAUACCCUAAUAUAGCUUAAAGAAUGGAUUAAUAAAGAUGAUAACACAGAAAAGCUAGUAAACAGAGUUAAAAUAUUAUGUUCUGUUUGGUUAACAACAAAGUAAAGGAAAAUGUUUAACGGGAGAGAAAUCUAGAAACUGAAGAAUGAUUCGUAUUAAACUUUUAUUUGAUUAGCAAAGUUUAAGACAGUAACUCUUAAUGAUUUAUUGUCUUUAUUUCAUCUUUGCUAUGAUUCCUCUCAAAUAGAUGGGGACAGAGAAAUUUAAUUUCUGCUUAUUGUUUUAAAGAAAAUGAAUCUGUUAGAUUUUAUCAAUAACAAAUUAUUAUUAUUAACAAUAUUAUUUCGAGUUUAAUUUACUUAUUUGAUUUUCUUCUUGAUGAAGAACUUGAUUUUUCAACAUCUCUAUUUGGACAUAUACUCUCUUUGAUUUCUUCAUGAUUAAGAAUUUACUUUUUUAACAUCGCUAUUUACACAUAAUUUAUUACUUUUAAGGGACAAACUGUCAUGUCCAAUUAUUUAUGAAUUCUCUCCUAAUUUAAUUUUUUCAAACAGCACUCUUAUCCUUAUUCUUUUGACACUAUUCCAACAUAGAAUAAUAUUUUUUCUUACAUAGUGGCCUUAAAAUUAAAAUUAAAAUUUACAAGACUGAUCCAAAACGCCAUUUCUAUGAAAAAUAAAUGUGGUUGAAAAGUAAGGGCAUAAGAAACUACAUCGCCAAAUCAUUAUGCUAGAUUGAAGAAAAUUAUUCAUAAUUAAAACCACAUUUUGCAGGCCCGUUUCAACGUCACAGAACCUUUGAAAUAAAAAUGAAAAGAUUCCGCAAAUGAAUCCAAAUCACUGCUAUUAAUUUAGAUUGGAACAUUUAUAUCUAUCUAACUAUAUAUAUAUAUAUAUAUAUAUAUAUAUAUAUUGUAUGUAUAUCAUGUCUUAAACUGUCGGUCAUUGCUGCAGCUUUGUCGAAGAGAUAUUAUUAUUAGGUUGAAUCCAAUUUGAGAUUUUGCUAAAAAGAAAAUGGCCUCCAAUUUUUCAUGGUAAACCCAACGACAAGCAUCUAUCAACAUGGUGCCACACUUACACACAACAAUGAUAAGAGCAGCGCAAAUCAAUAGCAGUGCAAAUCUAUGCAAUGUAUAAAUGAUUUCAGCAAUUGAAUGUGUGAAAAAUGUGGAGACCAAUGCGAUUGCAGAAAGAGAUCCAGAGAAAACAGCAAUAACGUCCCAAAAUUGCGAAGAAAUUGCUUGAUUACGUUGAGACUUGUUUGUCAGCUGCUAAUGCAAUGUAGUAGAAGAUUUUGGCUAGUAGAAAAAUACACAACCUUACUCUAUGAGCUCAAUCAACGGCUUCGUUGUGCCUUACACUAUCAUACCCACAAUAGCAGCAACAUGAGAUAUCCAGAGAUUUUUUAGUACAAAACUGAGAAAAUGAAAUUGUCAUUAGUACAAAGCCAUCAAAUUUUACAUAUGAAAAGGCUAGCAUUCUUAUAUUAUUUUCACUUGUUGUACAUGUACCCCGGACCAAUGGUGGAACCAUGAUUUUAGUUUGAUGGGGACCAUAAUGAAGAAACCACAAACUUGACUAGAUAUAACAAGAAAUCUGUAAAGUUGAAGUGUCCGAAAGAGGGGGCUAUAAUUGAUAAACCAUAAAAUGUUAUAUAUUGUUACACAAUUAUAUUAAAGUAAGAGGGCCGACAUAAAAUUUAAAUGAUACAUUAAACUUCCCAUAUACUUUUUUACUUUUUUGGAUUAUUUCGAGGCGGCAAGGCAAGUACCGCCACUCCUGCUCUAGACGUAGCUUCGCAUGCAAGUACUGUAUAAGCAAGAAACGUUUGCUCCCCCAUUGACCAAAUUUCUGCAAUUAAUUUGUAAAUGACAGAUUAACGUUUGCCACCCACUAUCGCUUUAUGCAAUGACAGAAUCGUUUGCCCGAUCAACGGAUCCGCGCUGACACGAAUUAUAAAUCAGUCAUUCUCAAAAUCAAUUUCUUUAUUUCGUAUAACCUGUUUUGAUCUCUUUCCAAAUUAACCUUAUCCAGCAUGUUUUCUGUAAUUAUUAGAAUCCACUAAAAUUUUAUUAGUAAUUCUAAUGAAAAUUUAAUUUCCCCUACCUAUGUAAGCUACAUUCAAAUCCUAAACUUCUUAUUUUCAAUAUAAUUCUAUUUUUUUAAUACUAAAAAUGGCCUCAAAAUUUUAUUUGUGAGUCCUAUAUUGAGCCAACUUAAUUUUUUUUUUUAAAAAAAUUAAAUUUCACAUUAUGACCUACGGUUUUAUCAUAUGACAUAAGAAAUUCUUGAAUACAUCAGAACUAUCAUGUCAGUCAUAUAACAAAUAAAUCAUACUAUGACAUGUGUGCAUUUAUUUUAAAAAAUUAUCAUGUAAGCGGUGGUUACAUUAAAUCAAAAUACACAUAUCAUACAUACAUUAGUUGGUUGAAUUACAUUUGAUGUAUUCUAAAAUUUCUUCAUACGAAGAAAUCUUAGUGGGAUAGGCAAUGAACCUAUUUGCCUAUAGUAGUAGCAUUUGACUUCUUUCAAGUACAAGUAUGCAAUAGAUCUAAGUUAGGUCAUGUUUGAGAUUGAGUUUGGAAAAUAUUAGAGUAUUUAGUAAACACUAGUUGUUAUAACUUAUAAGUAAAGUUAAUUUAAUUUUACACUUGUAUGAUAAAAAAUUUAUUAUAUCUUUACUAAUUUUGUAAAAAUUAUUAUUUAAAAAUUAUAUUUAUUACAUAUUAUUAAUAUUUAUUUCAUAAUUAUUACUUUUUUCUACAGGAGCAGUACCUCAAUAACAACCUAGGAGUCAAAGAUAAUUGACGACUCGAUCCAUUGGUGAGAAAGACAAUGAUGGACCCUUUUUUUGUAAUUCUUGAUGGGAGAUUAGUAGCAAUGAAAAUGUAAGGAAAAUGAAAUUUAGUCAAGAUGAAUUUUCAGUUUAUUAUAAAUUGAAUAAUUUUUUAAUGAGGAAGUUCUCAUUUUAUUAAUAUAAGAACAAAAUUUAAAAAAAAAUAUAUGAAAAUGCAUAUUUUAAUAUAAUUUUUUUUGUCUUUUAGCAAAUUAGGAUUCAUUUUCUUUCUUUUAAUUUGCUCAUUGUUUUAAAAGAAUAAAGUCUUCCUCACACCUGAUUAGAGGAAGACUUAUCAUAAAUUAUCUCUAAUAUAUCUCUAAGUACCGCCAAUAUCAUUUCAUUCACACAUCAAAAUUUAUGUUCUUUUGUAAUAUUUCAAUUUCUAAAUUGCGCACUAUAGCAUGGCAUCCAAUAAGCAAUCUACAUAUCUUUAUUAAUAUUACAAUUAACAUAAUUUCUUUUAAUUUGAUGGGUUUUUAGGAAGUUAACAAAUUAAUUCUUUUUUUUUUUAAAAAAAUCAUUUGUCGAAACAAAUGAAAUAAUAUAACCUUAGAAAAAACUUGCUAAAAGAACUGUGUAAAACUCGGUGUGUAUAUACAUAUAAAAUGUAAAAAAUUGAGGGAGACAUUUGUAUAGUAAAAGAUACUAGCUAUUGUUACAAAAACAUAAAACUGUUCAAGAUCUCUGCAAACACACAAGGAAAAUACCUAUUUUAUAAAAAAAAAAAAAUACAAAUUAGAAAAGAAAAUGUAAAAGCCAACUUCAUUGCCUUGUAAUAGAGGAUAUGAAAAAAACAGAGUAAGCUGGAACAUGGCUAGUGCACACUGCCAAAACAAAAUAAUUCUGAUAUCUCAACAACAAUUGAGGAGAAUAAUUCAAAUACAACAUGGUUAACAAAAAUUAAAUAAAAAUAAGUUUAAACAAUAAACCACUGAGAGACUGAAAAAUUGACAUAGAAGUUGGGAGGUGUUUCAGAUCAGUCUUGUUGCCUAUCAUCAUGAUCACAAUGUUGGAGUCUGCAUGGUCUCUCAGAUCCUUCAGCCACCGGCUCACGUUUUCAAAUGUUGUUGAUUUUGUCACAUCAUAAACUAAAAGAGCUCCGAGUGCACCCGUAUUAUAAUAGGCACUGUUUAUAACUCUGUAUCACUCCUGACCUGCAGUAUGCAUAUCUGGGCUUUUAUUGUCCUUCAACAUGAAAAUCACAGAUUUCCCUUUAAUCAUACAACAAAAUGCUCUUUUAGGACAAAAUUUCCAAUUUUAAUUGACUCUGGAGUUUCUAGAAAAAAAAUUUCUUUGUUCCCCCACGCCUGUAAAUGAGUUUAGACAGUUUAAUUUGGACGGAUCUUACAGCAAUUCAAUCCAUGAUACAUGAUGAAGCAAAGUUUUCAAAUAUUAUGCACUAGAUUAUUAUUUGGUUUCUUGAAUUCAAAACUCACAAAACCCUAAGACCUCUUUAAAUUUCACACACUAGUAUGAGUUGACAAUAACUUUACACCAUGUGCACUUCUAGGAUUAUUAUAAGUGAUUAAGAUACUAUGUUUUUUUUACUGUCUCUUCUACCAUAAACAAACUACAGGAUAGUAACACAAUGGCUAAAAAUCUUAAAUGUUUCAAAACAUGAGUUGCACGCAUAACAACUCAGUAAAUAAUUUUUUCACCCUGAUUUAACACAUAUACUUGUUUUUCAGGAAAAGUAUAAGAUAUGGUAACUUGAUGUAAGUCGGGGGCUUUAUCUCAUGUGGGAAACAGUCAAGACAUAGAGGUUAACUACAACCCAAAAUGUGGAAUGGAUACUCAGCUCUAGCUCAAAGUUGACAUCCUUUUCUUUCACAUCCGCCACUCAGUCCCAUCACCCUAUGUCCAAACAGGCUAAAGCUGCAAUUACUUUCAACCCCAAUUCUCAGCUUUGAUUCAAGAUUUCAAGAAAGGAAAUCCCAACUCUAACUUGCCAAAACUCAACAUCAGGCUUGAACAGAUUCGUUUCGACUUGCAUAACUAACUUCAACAUAUGGAGAACAGUCUUACUCACAUUUCCAAGAAAACAUUGAAUGCCGAUCUAAUUAUCUAAUUAAAUGAAAAAAUUCGGUGGGUCGUAAGUUUCUCUUAAUGAAUUAAUUGCAAUUCUGAUUCCACUCUAACAUGCAAAAUGUCAACAACAUGUUAGUUUGGACUUGCAUAACGAAGACAACAACUUCAACAUACAGAGAACAGCCCUACUCACAUAUACAAAGUAAACACCAAAUCUGCCGGUGCAUGAUUUUCACUUGAUGAAUAAAUUACAACUUAAAUUUAUAAUUUAAUCCAAACUCUCACCCCAAUACUUAGCUACCACAAUUAGGUGCUGCCACUUCACUUAACACAUAAAAUUAACGGUUUAAAUCGUGGCCCAAAAUAUUCAGACUUGAAUUAUAAAUCAUUCUUUUUCAAAAAACUUAAAUAGCAUUCAAAUCUAAAUUCCCCCCCCCCCCCCCNNNNNNNNNNNNNNNNNNNNNNNNNNNNNNNNNNNNNNNNNNNNNNNNNNNNNNNNNNNNNNNNNNNNNNNNNNNNNNNNNNNNNNNNNNAAUCAUCAUACUAAUAGUAAUUAAACAUCAAUAAUGAAAACAGAUAAAAAAUUGAAUCACUUCCGCUUCAUAUGAAUCUACAAAAAUCUAUAAUAACUAGAUGGUGCAUGUGCAUAAACAACAACUUUGAUGGAUUAAUUUAAAACAGUCAUCCAAAUUUGCUGGGAGGCAAAGGAUUGAGCAAGACUGAGAGUAAGAGCGGGAGAAAGAAAUUUUAAAUUUUUUAUGACGAUUUUUGAAUUUCAAGAAUAAUAUGAAUUUAGUCAGAUAAAGCAAUUUUCUUGCGGCUAAUUAAUAUUUAUUUGAUUCUUAAAAGUCUGAAAAUCUAAAUGGCGAUAAAUCUAUAUAUUUGUUGUGACUAUUUUAAAAUCCCGGCCAAGUCAUCCGCAAUAACCAACAGCUGUUGUGGUAAUCAAUACAGGGACGGACUCCUUCUUUUUGCCUAUUAAUUAAAUCUUCAGCAUUAGUUAAAUAUUAGGUGAAUAGACAGGCAAGAGCAUUAUAUGUAUCUAGAAAUAUUAUUUUCACCAAAAAUUAAAAAAAAAAAUUCAAAUGCAGAAGCUGAUAUUAUAAGGAGUGACAGAGUGUUCACUUUUGUACAUACCUUUUCUUUUAAUUUAACAUAUACUUUGCUUCCUCCUUUUUUUCCCGAGAAAAAAGAAGAAGGAAGUUUGCAUCUGAGCAGCUACUACAAAAAAAUCACCCUGUCAGACGGGUUUCUCUAACAAAUAACUUCUAAUCAAAGCAUAUUUUAUAGAAUACCAAUGCAAUUAAUACACCUUCUUGCACUAUUUGUUUUCCAUUCUGGGACCAAAUAUGCGAAAUGUAGAAGAAGAAAAUGUUCGUUCAUUAAAGUAUAGUGUGAUAUAAAUGUAUGUACUAUAAAUUGGGUGUUGAUUAUUCUGUCAACAUACCUGAAAUGUUACUAAUUUGCUUGCAAUAAUGAAUGCAUGUACUGAUUUCUUUCCUAGCUCUGUUUCUAAUACCCUAAUACAGCUUAAAGAAUUAAUAAAGAUGAUAAUGUUAGGGAAAAAUCAGGUUUUUAAAUUUUUAUAAAACCUUUUGAAGAUCGCUCUCAUAUAAUAUAUAAGAAUUUGUAUUCUAGAAAUCGUACCUUGAAAAUCCGAGUUGGCUUUUUCCGCUGAAGUGAUUUAGGCUCCUAGAUCACGAUCCGCCACCACCACUCAUGUUAGAUCACGAUCCGUCACCACCACGCUUGCUAGAUCACGAACUGUCACCAAUGAUCUUCCAGGUUAUGACUCAGGUUCGAUCUACACUUGACGUGUGGGCGCCUUUAUCACUACCAAAGCAACUAACACGAGAAAAUUUUUCUCUCAACAAUAGAGAGAAAAAUCUUAUUCUCCGAUUUGUAUAAAGUGACUUUUUUUUUCUUAGAGAAAAUAAGCCUUAUAUAUCUCCCUUUAGUGAAAACCCUAGGCUCCAAAUAAUCAAAAAACAAAACUCACGUUUAUUUGCUUUUUCAAUAGGGGACCCACCUUGUAAAAUAACAUAAGGCCCCUUAUACAAAAGCUAAUUAAAUGGAGCCUCCCACUAAAUGAUAUAUUUAGCCUUUUGACCCAAAUAGCUAGUUAUCUUACUUAUUAGUCCAGUAGUGGUGCAGUCAAUUAAAUGAGCUAACCCGGGGAUCAUUUGGGAACAUACAAUAGUGGCUACAAUAAUUAGGCCUGUAAUUAAACUAGCCCAAAUAUUUAAUUCCAAAUCUACUCCACUAAAAGAUUGGAACUGACUUCCAUAAUUAUAUGCUCGAGUAAUAAUUCGUCCCAAGCCACAUUGAUUUCUUUACUACACAAUCCUUUGUUUACUACACAAUCCUUUCAAUUAAUUGUGGGAAACUCUAAUUUUUGUAAAAACUUCAAUUUUUAUUAAUUAUAUAGUAAGUAAUGAAUGGAUAAGGUGCAAUGCUAGGAGAACAUCAAAGAUUUUCUUCAAGCAUGCUGUAAUAUCAAAAGUUGUCUUAAUACCCAUAGUUGCUAACCUAUUUAUUUAACUUUUAUAAAUUUGUAAGAUCAAAAUUGUAUAAGUAAUUUUCAAUUUUUUAAUUUAAAUUUUACAUAGAUUUUCUAUUAGAUGCUUGCAAAGUUGACCAAAAUACGUUGGAAAUAUAAAAAUACAAAUGUUGGUAGCUCUGCUGUACCGUACAUCCGCCUUGGCCGUACAGCAGAUUUAUUACAGUCUAUACCUAAAUAAAGUGCCCAACUUUAUUUAUCAACUGUGAACUAAAUUUAUUUAAUCAUAAGAUAACUUGUAUUUAUGUCUUCUGUGAAUCCACAUGGUGAUCACAUAAAUACAUAUAAUAUGAUUAAAUGGACUUUAAUACAAAUAUUAAUGCAAUUAAGAUAUUUGAAUAAAAUACCUCAUUUAUUUUAUUAAUCAGAAAAAUUGUUUAUUACAAUUAAAUAAACACAUAUGCUUUUAAAGAGCAUAUUUUCCCAACAAUCUCCCACUAGCUCUCAAAGCAUAUCUGGCAUAUUGCACAUGCUCUAGGGCUCUAAGUGCAGGUUAUAAAGGUUUCCCACUAAUGGCCAUUGUAAUAAGAUCUGCCAUUUAGCAUCUAAUGCCAUUUGGGGUACUGUCAUAUAACCUUUCUACACUAUUCCCUUAUAAGAUGAUACUUCCUUUCAAUAUGUUUUGUUUCUUGUGGUUCCUUGGUUCCUUAGAUUGAGCUACCGCACCACCAUUUUUAGUUCUUUUCAGAUACUUUCAAUGCUGCUUCUCUGGCAAAAUGGGUAUUUUGCCCAAACAUCUGAUGAAGACCAGCCAUUAUUUCAGUGGUUGUUUCCAUGCUCCGAUGUUUCUUAUGCAGUUCCACAGAAAUCGAAGCCAAUAUAUAGCGCUUAGCCAUUUUGUUAGCUUCGCACCAUUUCUCAUAAGGCUCCCUCUGAUUUCUAUAAUCGUAUAACGAUGGUUCAGGAGGGCAAGGCUGGGUCAACACAUAUUUGUUUCCCUUAGCAGUGAGAAUAUUAAAUAGAUUGCGUUUCCAAUCUAAAUAAUUUUCGCCAGUGAGUUCAUUUUUAACAAGGAUAAAUAAUAAUGGGUUGAUGGAAGACAUUUUCUGAAAAAAAAAAACAAAAUAGACAUGCAUAAAUACUUUGAAACAAUAUUCACAAUAAAUGACAAAAAUGCAAAAAACCAUAAAUGCAUUUUAAUUUAUUGUAACGAUAAUCUAGUACCACUUUGACAAGCUAUCCGUUGGGGAAGUCAUGUCUACACUUACUAGACCCAAUUAUCCAUUAGAUUAUUUACUUUCAUGUAAAGACAUGAUAAAUAAUUAUCGUUAUCUUUUUGGGCCUAAAUUUGUUAACAGAGCUUCGUUGGGAAGGUUAAUAACAAACUUUAGUUGAGUGUAUAACCAUUGUUUCAAUCUACGUAUUUUUCAUAUCAAUAGUCACCGUUGGGGUAAACAAUCGAUUGAAAAAUAUUUCAAUUUUAUCUUUGAAGAAGUUCAUCAAAUAAAAUAUCUAAUAUAUAUACCCUCCGAAGGGAGCAUCACCGUAUCAUGAAGUCAAGGUAUAUAUAUAAUUUUAUUAUUNNNNNNNNNNNNNNNNNNNNNNNNNNNNNNNNNNNNNNNNNNNNNNNNNNNNNNNNNNNNNNNNNNNNNNNNNNNNNNNNNNNNNNNNNNNNNNNNNNNNNNNNNNNNNNNNNNNNNNNNNNNNNNNNNNNNNNNNNNNNNNNNNNNNNNNNNNNNNNNNNNNNNNNNNNNNNNNNNNNNNNNNNNNNNNNNNNNNNNNNNNNNNNNNNNNNNNNNNNNNNNNNNNNNNNNNNNNNNNNNNNNNNNNNNNNNNNNNNNNNNNNNNNNNNNNNNNNNNNNNNNNNNNNNNNNNNNNNNNNNNNNNNNNNNNNNNNNNNNNNNNNNNNNNNNNNNNNNNNNNNNNNNNNNNNNNNNNNNNNNNNNNNNNNNNNNNNNNNNNNNNNNNNNNNNNNNNNNNNNNNNNNNNNNNNNNNNNNNNNNNNNNNNNNNNNNNNNNNNNNNNNNNNNNNNNNNNNNNNNNNNNNNNNNNNNNNNNNNNNNNNNNNNNNNNNNNNNNNNNNNNNNNNNNNNNNNNNNNNNNNNNNNNNNNNNNNNNNNNNNNNNNNNNNNNNNNNNNNNNNNNNNNNNNNNNNNNNNNNNNNNNNNNNNNNNNNNNNNNNNNNNNNNNNNNNNNNNNNNNNNNNNNNNNNNNNNNNNNNNNNNNNNNNNNNNNNNNNNNNNNNNNNNNNNNNNNNNNNNNNNNNNNNNNNNNNNNNNNNNNNNNNNNNNNNNNNNNNNNNNNNNNNNNNNNNNNNNNNNNNNNNNNNNNNNNNNNNNNNNNNNNNNNNNNNNNNNNNNNNNNNNNNNNNNNNNNNNNNNNNNNNNNNNNNNNNNNNNNNNNNNNNNNNNNNNNNNNNNNNNNNNNNNNNNNNNNNNNNNNNNNNNNNNNNNNNNNNNNNNNNNNNNNNNNNNNNNNNNNNNNNNNNNNNNNNNNNNNNNNNNNNNNNNNNNNNNNNNNNNNNNNNNNNNNGCAAAUUUCAAACAAUAUAAUGAAAUUCAUAAUUAAUGAAUGACAUGUAUCAUUAUGCAUAGAGUGGCACUACCUAUUCUAUAUGACAUGUUAUCAUGGCGUGUUAUCAUCCAAAACAUAACAUAAAGAAAAACAAUUAAAUAAUCUUAAUUCAUGGCUUUCCUAAUAAUGAAAAAUACAUUAACCCUAAGCCUAAUCUUCAAUGGGCUUCUUGUCAAUGUCCAUAUUCCAUAAGCUUGUUUUUGUUAAUGGACUAGGGGAAAUUGGGCUUUUAAAUUUAUAAUUGGUCUAAUUUUAAUUUUGAAAGGAAAUAAAUAAAUAAAUAAAUUAAAAUGUCCAUCUUCCAUAAGCUUGUUUUUGUUAAUGGACUAGGGGAAAUUGGGCUUUUAAAUUUAUAAUUGGUCCAAUUUUAAUUUUCAAAAAUAAUUUUAUUUUUUUAUUUUUUUUAUUAAAAUAAAACUUUUGGACCAAAAAUAAAUUUAAUGUAUUUAAUUUUGUCUAUGCAUUUUUAAUCCAUUAAGCCCAAUUGAAAUUGAGCCUAAAACUAGGAUUCAUUAAACUCAAAACUGUUUUUGGAUUUAAAUGCAAAAAAUUAAAAAACUUUCUACCCAAAUGAAAAAUUAUGGAACCAUAGGGACCUCCAUGAUAAAAACCAUGUAACCCUAAAUUUAUAUUUUUCUUCCUCUCUUCCCCAGUCGCCAUCCCCAAAAAAAUCCAGCCGCUGCUCAUGAUUUUCCAGCCAUCUCCGACCGGCCUCCGUCGCUCCGAUCUUGAAAAUCCAAGAUUAAUUUACAAAUUUCCUAGGCUAAUUUUGGCUUACAAAAAUUCUAUAACAGUAAAAUAAAUCAAGAGGGAAACAUGGUGAUAAAAAACCACCCCUCCUGUUACAGAUCCAAAGAAAAAAUACAACAGAAAAUCUAACCAUGAAUUAAGACAAACCAAAACAUGCUUUAUUCAUAUAUUAAACAAAUAAUAUAUAUCUGAAUNNNNNNNNNNNNNNNNNNNNNNNNNNNNNNNNNNNNNNNNNNNNNNNNNNNNNNNNNNNNNNNNNNNNNNNNNNNNNNNNNNNNNNNNNNNNNNNNNNNNNNNNNNNNNNNNNNNNNNNNNNNNNNNNNNNNNNNNNNNNNNNNNNNNNNNNNNNNNNNNNNNNNNNNNNNNNNNNNNNNNNNNNNNNNNNNNNNNNNNNNNNNNNNNNNNNNNNNNNNNNNNNNNNNNNNNNNNNNNNNNNNNNNNNNNNNNNNNNNNNNNNNNNNNNNNNNNNNNNNNNNNNNNNNNNNNNNNNNNNNNNNNNNNNNNNNNNNNNNNNNNNNNNNNNNNNNNNNNNNNNNNNNNNNNNNNNNNNNNNNNNNNNNNNNNNNNNNNNNNNNNNNNNNNNNNNNNNNNNNNNNNNNNNNNNNNNNNNNNNNNNNNNNNNNNNNNNNNNNNNNNNNNNNNNNNNNNNNNNNNNNNNNNNNNNNNNNNNNNNNNNNNNNNNNNNNNNNNNNNNNNNNNNNNNNNNNNNNNNNNNNNNNNNNNNNNNNNNNNNNNNNNNNNNNNNNNNNNNNNNNNNNNNNNNNNNNNNNNNNNNNNNNNNNNNNNNNNNNNNNNNNNNNNNNNNNNNNNNNNNNNNNNNNNNNNNNNNNNNNNNNNNNNNNNNNNNNNNNNNNNNNNNNNNNNNNNNNNNNNNNNNNNNNNNNNNNNNNNNNNNNNNNNNNNNNNNNNNNNNNNNNNNNNNNNNNNNNNNNNNNNNNNNNNNNNNNNNNNNNNNNNNNNNNNNNNNNNNNNNNNNNNNNNNNNNNNNNNNNNNNNNNNNNNNNNNNNNNNNNNNNNNNNNNNNNNNNNNNNNNNNNNNNNNNNNNNNNNNNNNNNNNNNNNNNNNNNNNNNNNNNNNNNNNNNNNNNNNNNNNNNNNNNNNNNNNNNNNNNNNNNNNNNNNNNNNNNNNNNNNNNNNNNNUUCUGGGGGCUUCUUUUUCAAUAAAGCCGAGAGAUGAUGAGUGUGAUGGUCCACAUGUGGGAGGAAAUCACGGAUGUAAUUGAUAAUGCCGAGAAACCUGCUGUACCGUACAUCCGCCUUGGCCGUACAGCAGCUGUUCAAUGUAGUCGUACUACAUCAAUAAAUUCAUACAUGAUUAAGACAAAUCAUUUAAUGAAUUUAUUACAGUCUAUACCUAAAUAAAGUGCCAAGCUUUAUUUAUCAACUGCGAACUAAAUUUAUUUAAUCAUAAGAUAACUUGUAUUUAUGUCUUCUGUGAAUCCACAUGGUGAUCACAUAAAUACAUAUAAUAUGAUUAAAUGGACUUUAAUACAAGUAUUAAUGCAAUUAAGAUAUUUGAAUAAAAUACCUCAUUUAUUUUAUUAAUCAGAAAAAUAGUUUAUUAUAAUUAAAUAAACACAUAUGCUUUUAAAGAGCAUAUUUUCCCAACAGAUAAUACAGAUAAGUUAGUAAACAGAGUUAAAAUAUUUUGUUCUGUUUGGUUAACAAGAAAGUAAAGGAAAAUGUUUAACGGGAGAGAAAUCUAGAAACUGAAAAAUGAUUCUUAUUAAGCUCAAAAACAAUCUAAAUGUUACAGAGGUAUUUAUAGCAUAGUCUGGACCCUUCUCCAGCAUGCAAAGCUUGAGCUGGAAACUAACUAAUUGCAACAAAUUCUUGGCGGGAAUUUAACAAACUUAAACAGCUAAUAUCACUUUGCAUAACAGCAUGCCAGCUUGGCAAUUGACUAAGCACUCUGCUUGCAGGGCAAUCUGAUCCAGCAGCUUACACAGCAAUCUGACUCAACAUAUAAUCUUAACAAACAGAACCCAUCUAGGUUCAACCAAACAUAAAGUUGACAGAAACCAAAUCUUGUAUUGCUUAGUAAACAGAAACCAUUAAAGCUAAUACACUCUCUUUGACAGUAUCCAAAGGCUACAAGAUUAAUAAUCAAAGCAUAUUUUAGAUUAAGAGACAUAAAUUAUAAUCAAAGCAGUUUUUUAUGUCUGCUUCUUCGUUAAUGAUUAUCAAACUCAGUUACAAUCAAAGCAGACAUAAAUUAUAAUCAAAGCAGUUAUAGUUUCCUCAAUUUAUGUCUGCUUCUUCGUUAUUCGACCACACACACUAGUAAGUGUUGGAAAAAAAAAGCAAGCAAUCGCUGUCUAUAGGAGAAAUCAGGCAUGGAUUCAGAGUUCAGACAAUCCACUUGAAGCUUCCCCCAUAAAGAAAACAAACGCUUCCAACGAACGUGUUCUCCACCUGAUACUGGAACUGCACAACAUAAUUGAUAUACUCAUUUCAUUUGGUUUAAUUUUCUGCGGUCACUUGUUGACUGAGAAAUUUUGGUGGUCCACGCACGCAGGUGGGUGUGUUUCUGUGUGCUGUGUCGUGAGGAAAAAGUUUUCUCGCCUUCUCAUAUUCUUAUUAACUUUGGCUUCAAGGAACAAGGGCAAAAAUUAAAAGACCAUCCUCUCAUCUCAUCAUUCACAGCCAUAUGUUUAUUAAUACAAUACACAUGGGGGCUUUUUUUGACUAACUUUCUUGCUAAUAUAACAUCAGAAUGUGGUUCCUUCAGAUCUCCAAACCGAGAAUAUCGAAUAUGUUGUUGCUAAAAUGAGAGUAAUUAAUUAUAGUUAAAAUUAAAAAUCCACAAUUAAUAAGAAUAAAUGAGUUUAUUUUUACGUUAUUGAUUAUAUUUUUGGACGUUAUUGAUUAUAUUUUUGUCAUUUACCUUGGAUGAAUUUUCUUAAUUUAAAUAAAAGAAUUGUGAUAUCUAUCCAGGUUUAACAAGACGUCGAAUCAUUAUACAGUAUGUAUAUAGUUUGUAAUUAAUUAUAUAACAAAUAAACAAAAGAAAAUUGGAAUUAUAAUAUAUUAAAUAUUAAACGCUAUAUAGUUUGUAAUUAAUUAUAUAACAAAUAAACAAAAGAAAAUUGGAAUUAUAUAUUAAAUAUUAAACGCAUGCUACAAUUAUGUCACAUUUAGCAUAUGCUAUAUACGACCGAUUUGCGUGUAUAUUCUCAUACGUUUUAUUUGUCAUUUUGUAGAACAUUAUUACACACUAUAUUAUCACGACUCUUCUCUAUCUGAACACUAUUGGCUGUGCAUAAUGCGACCGUCCAACAGCUUAUCCAUGGAAUUAUCACCACUAUAUUGUAUUGCUUUAAAAAAAAUAAUAUUUUUUAAUAUUAAUAUUCUUAAUUAUAUUAAGUUAAAAUAUUAAAUAUUAAAUACAUUCUUAAUAUUAAUAUUCUUAGAUGAAAUUCUUUUGCGGACUUAAGAGUAAAAUAUUAAAUAAUUUUAUUUUUCUUUUAUUGUGUAACGUGGACCAAAAAAAAGGAAAUGAAUUUAAUAAAACCUUCAUUCCGCCACCAUGCAUGUUAAUUGUUUCCAAAUUCCAACCUCCGUAGUCCGUACUCUCUUGAGGAGUUUCCCAUUCAUCAAUUAUUAUUUUUUAUAAUCCAUAUCAUCCUGAUAUAAUUAAACACCAUUAAUAAUGUACCAGCCUUUAAAUAGUAAUUAAUUUAUUUAGUUUGCCACCUAAAAGAAUCCUGCAGGAAAUAGAGGUUAAAAAUUUUAUGAGUUUGAUAAUAGAGUUGUAUUAUGCCAUAAUUGUAUUAAAAAUUGCAUUUUUUUUUAUAACAAGACAUAAAAAAGCAUAUUUUUUUAUGUCUCAGCAAACACUUAUAAUUCACAAAUAGUGAAUCCAUGCAUUGACAAUGUGGAUUAAGAAUUAUAACACAUGAAUUCAAGCAUAUUUUAAAUUAAGAGACAUAAAUUAGACGCAUAACAAUAAAUUAGAGGAAAAACAGAUCAACUUGGUGAGAUUAAUCGGAUACAAACAUGAAAUUCUUGAAUAAAAGCGAGAAUAAAACCAACCCUCUUCCUUUGUAUCGAAACCGAUCGAGAUCAAAAAUUUCAAAUGAAAGCGAAAGCUUCUUCGAUCCAACGGGAGUCAGAGAGUGAGAGCCGAAAUUCACGAAAUUAGGGAACUAAGCCAUCAAAUUUGGUGAGAUUAAUUGAAAACAAACCUGAAAAUUCAUGAUGAAUAGCGAGAUUUAAACCAAAAAUGUUCGUCUUCAUUGAAACUGAGAUCGUAAAAUUUCAAAUGAUUGUGAGAGAGAAAGCUGAUAUGUUUUCUCCUUUUCCUUUUUUUACACCCCCCGGGGCGAGGACGAAGGCGUGGGGCCGAGAGAUAAAGAAUUUCGCUGUUAUUUUUUUUUAACUUUUUCGAAUUUCAAGUACUACGAAAUUUUAAAAUAUUAUUUAUUCUUCACCAUUUUCUUCAGUUUUAGCUUUCUAUAUAGAAUUUUAUCCCAAACAAAAAAAGCUUUCGAUAUAUAAUUAGUUAAGUUGGUUAAUAUAGUCAAAUGUUUUUGACAUUAAUAAAUGUCAUGAAUCCUGUUCCAAUUUUAUUGGCAUAAUAAACAUUUCUUUUUUAAAGUGAUAUAAAAUGAAUAUUUUUACUGUCAGAAUUUAACUCAACCUAUUUAACUGUCCUUAAAAAUUAUCAAAUACUAAAUGUCAAAAUUUUCUUUUGGGGAUUGCCAAUUUCCUACUACUAAAAUUCACUUACUUCCUACUAUUUUCAUAAUAGAUAAUAAUCCCAAUAGUAAAAUUUCACAAUAUUAUUCUUAUUUUCAAAUACACUUUUAUUAAUAUUUAUUAUAAAUUAAAAAAUCAUAUAGACGUAAAUUGAAUUAAAAAAUUUAAGUAUUACAAAUUAGAAAUCUGCUGUACCUCACUAGUGGUUAACUGCUGACUCAGCCAAGUGUUGGCUUCACUUGAUUCACCGAUUGAGGUUAUUUUGUCUUCUAUCUAAUGCAGCGAAGAAGCUUUGCUGCUUAACAUGCUGCAAUGCAACUUUAUCCUUUGAAGUUCACACUCCAGGGCUGCGCACUUUAUGUAAUCCUAUGAGUAAAAAGAAUUUGUUUUCAAAUGUGAAAAAAGAAAAUGUAAGGUAGUAACUAAAUAUAUUAUAGCAUCAAAGCAAGAUUUGAUAUGAAUUUAGUACAACAAAGAACAUCAAAUCUGUGAUUCCUUGUCUAAUGUCACCAUCGAGCAACAAAUUUAAAAGCCUACCUAUCAAAUACACGAGGCAAUAAACGGAGAAAAAGUUGAAUUACAAGAACAAGUUUACAAUUCUUGUCAAUGGUUAAUGAUUUGUGAACUGAGAUAUCAUUCAAGAAUCCAAUUUCAAUACAACAACCUAAAAGAUAAACAGAUGAUGAAUUUUAUGAGAUAAAAAAGGAGAUCGUGUUUUAUCGUAUCUCUAUUUUCUUUCUUUUUAAAUUUAUGAGAUAAAGCGGUUGGUCCAGUUACGGUGUUAUGCUAACGGGUUUAAAGGUUCCGAUCCAAUGAGUUAGGGUGGAAUAUGAAUAUAUAAAUUCCAUAGCAUGUAAGGACUAGGAUUUGUUUGUUCAUAUCAAGAAAAAAAAUCUGAAAAUUUGAUGAUCAGAAGAUAAAAACACUUAAACACGUUUAUUUCAGAGAAACAAACGACAACAUGAAACUAGUAGUAGUUAUUCUUUUCAUCCGAUAUAUUACAUGGUAAUAUCACUACUCGUUCCACUGGUUUCAUAUACACCAUCGACCAGCAACAUGAUAAUUUCGUGUCAGUUCAUUUUGUUUGUAGGAAAGAGCAGUGUAUUUCUUAGAGCUUGAAAAUAAUAAAAAGAUUUUAAAAUAUAAAUUGCAUAUUUGUUUAUUACUGUUGUUUGGUCUAAUUUCUUAUGUAGAAUUGCUUGUCAUUCUUUGGACGUUAUUGAUUAUAUUUUUAUCAGACUUGGCGUAUAUAUUCACAUACGUUUUAUUUUGUCAUUUUGGCACUUUAACUCAUGAUAUGAUGGUCCAGGUUUUCGAGGACCACUAUAUUGUAUUGAUUUAAAAAAAAAAUUAAUAUUUUUUAAUAUUAAUAUUCUAAAUUAUAUUCAGUUAAAAUAUUAAAUAUUAAAUACAUUCUUAAUAUUAAUAUUCUUAGAUGAAAUUCUUUUGCUGACUUAAGAAUAAAAUAUUAAAUAAUUUUAUUUUUCUUUUAUUGUGUAACGUGGACCCAAAAAAAAAAAGGAAAUGAAUUUAAUAAAACCUUCAUUCCGCCACCAUGCAUGUUAAUUGUUUCCAAAUUCCAACCUCCGUAGUCCGUACUCUCUUGAGGAGUUUCCCAUUCAUCAAUUAUUAUUUUUUAUAAUCCAUAUCAUCCUGAUAUAAUUAAACACCAUUAAUAAUGUACCAGCCUUUAAAUAGUAAUUAAUUUAUUUAGUUUGCCACCUAAAAGAAUCCUGCAGGAAAUAGAGGUUAAAAAUUUUAUUAAAUUUGCUUACCGCUGUAUCAUUAUAUAUAUAAAGAGGGAAAUCUAAAUGAAAUUUUUUAUCAUCCAUUCAGCAAACACUUAUAAUUCACAAAUAGUGAAUCCAUGCAUUGACAAUGUGGAUUAAGAAUUAUAACACAUGAAUUCAAACAUACUGAGUUUGAUAAUAGAGUUGUAUUAUGCCAUAAUUGUAUUAAAAAUUGCAUUUUUUUUUAUAACAAGACAUAAAAAAGCAUAUUUUUUUAUGUCUCAGCAAACACUUAUAAUUCACAAAUAGUGAAUCCAUGCAUUGACAAUGUGGAUUAAGAAUUAUAACACAUGAAUUCAAGCAUAUUUUAAAUUAAGAGACAUAAAUUAGACGCAUAACAAUAAAUUAGAGGAAAAACAGAUCAACUUGGUGAGAUUAAUCGGAUACAAACAUGAAAUUCUUGAAUAAAAGCGAGAAUAAAACCAACCCUCUUCCUUUGUAUCGAAACCGAUCGAGAUCAAAAAUUUCAAAUGAAAGCGAAAGCUUCUUCGAUCCAACGGGAGUCAGAGAGUGAGAGCCGAAAUUCACGAAAUUAGGGAACUAAGCCAUCAAAUUUGGUGAGAUUAAUUGAAAACAAACCUGAAAAUUCAUGAUGAAUAGCGAGAUUUAAACCAAAAAUGUUCGUCUUCAUUGAAACUGAGAUCGUAAAAUUUCAAAUGAUUGUGAGAGAGAAAGCUGAUAUGUUUUCUCCUUUUCCUUUUUUUACACCCCCCGGGGCGAGGACGAAGGCGUGGGGCCGAGAGAUAAAGAAUUUCGCUGUUAUUUUUUUUUAACUUUUUCGAAUUUCAAGUACUACGAAAUUUUAAAAUAUUAUUUAUUCUUCACCAUUUUCUUCAGUUUUAGCUUUC
RNAcentral lists this long non-coding RNA (55938 nucleotides) under Citrus sinensis (sweet orange). RNAcentral describes it as "long non-coding RNA (CSIN_LNC003506)". The record is from RNAcentral. Lineage: Eukaryota; Viridiplantae; Streptophyta; Magnoliopsida; Sapindales; Rutaceae.